RNAcentral lists this long non-coding RNA (67667 nucleotides) under Durio zibethinus. Its description in RNAcentral is "long non-coding RNA (DZIB_LNC000948)". Lineage: Eukaryota; Viridiplantae; Streptophyta; Magnoliopsida; Malvales; Malvaceae. The record is from RNAcentral.
UGGUUUUGAAAUUUCAGUGGGUCUACACCACACUCUGCUGACUUUUCUUCUCCCGUAUAAAACCCAAAUUUGAUCACCACAUCUGACCAAAACCCAAAAACACCUGUAUCAACAAAAUUUUUCUGUGUUAGGUUGUCAAUGGUACUCUUGGAAGAAAGACUUGCCAAAUUAUACUACAAGCUGGAGAAUCACCACCACCACCACCAAUUAGAAGCAGAUGUUUUGUCAGCUUCUCUACAGGCUUUUGGAUCUGUUGUUUCGAAUUGCCUGAAUCAGUUGUUGUUGAAUUCGAAACCCGGAUCAGAAAUUUUGUCUUUUUCAUGGAUUCAACAAUGUUUUGAGCUCCUACCGCUUAUCAACGGGGCAUUUGCAAAGCUAGUUGUGGAUAUAGAAUACCCCAUGAGCAGCUGGGAUGUUGCUUCUCUUGACGAGUAUCUCAACUACGGCUUGCAUUUGCUGGAGCUUCUCAAUUCUGUUAGUUCCUCUCUCUCUCAUCUGGCCCACGCUCGGCUUUCGUUUGCACAUGCUCUGAACCUUCUGGAGAAUUCACCUUCUUUGGCAAUUAAACAUCUCAAAGCAAUUCGACCGCAAAGUUCAAGCAAGGACUUUAAAGGACAGGAAAACAUGGAAGAUGGUGACGACAAGUUCUCCUCCUGCAAGGAAAGGGUAGUCAAUCAAGCUUUGAUGGAAAUAAAGAAUGUUGGAUUUUGGGUAUGUGGCGUUGCUUUGGCUAGCUUGUCUGGAGAUGCUAAACCAUACUUGGAGAUCAAACGAGUGAUUGACAGGUUCAAUAGUGCUUUGUUGAUUGAUGUAGAUUCAUGUAUUUCUGACGUUAUAGUGGAGAAAGAUGAGCUAUUGAAAGACAUUAAGGACCUUAACAAUGCAGCAGCUUCCUUAGCUUCGGCCAUAGUCUCUGGGAAAAGCAGUGAUGCAGCCAAAGAUUUGGAGAGAAGAUUGGGUGUUUUCGAGAAGCAACUGGAAGCUUUGGAAAAGCAGGUGGAUAAUCUGUUCUCGGAAGUUUUGGCAGGCAGAAAUGAACUGCUUCUCGUCGUUCGACAACGCAAGCAAUAGCAUCAAUUCCACAAUUUCUUAUGUAAAUAGUAAAAACACACACACACACACACACAAACUUCUAAAUUUUUUUCUUAGAUUAUUGCAACAUUUGUAAGACAUAUUUUAUGAUAACUGUAAGUAUUAUAUCUUCAAAUUAUUAAUGGAAAUAGAAUUGUAUCACAUCAUUAUAUCAGUUUCAACUUGCUAUAUUCAAAUUUUAACAAGAAUAUUGUUAUAUUUUCAAUAGUAACUUGCAGAAUGAUAUCAACAUGUCUUGCUCAAGCAGUCGACUUUUUUCAUGUUAGAACAGAUGAUAGAAUCUAGGUUUCUCGGUUUUGGACCAGCGAAUAAAUUGAUGUCAUGCAAUGAAUACUUUCAGCCUGCAAUAAACCAGGAGUUUUUUGAAAACCCAUGAACUAUCAAGCAGCAACUUUUACUUGCUAAAGUUGCAGGUUACCAAGGAAAAUUAAGAAUUCUGAAAAAAGCAGAAGGAAAAAGGAUGCCAAAAACAAAUUUUCUGUCAGCCACCAAAUGAAACAUGAAGUGCAACCUCACUAAUUCAAUUAGUAUAGAAAGUUGCAAUGGAAAGCAAAAUAGGACCAUUGUGAUACAAAAAGAAAAACAAAUAAAGGAAAGCCUAUUUUUUGGAAUACCCUCACCCUUUUUUCCAAUAACUCUUACAACUAAACUAUAUUCAUCACCUGAAAACUUAGUCUUCCUCCUGAAAAGAAACAUCUAUACCUUCACUGUGUUGACUUCUUCGAUUUGGAAAACUGUUGCUUUAAUAAACUACCAAACUAUACUCAACUGUACCAUGUCUCAGUUCUGUCAUCCCCAUUAAAGGCAAAUCGAACACCAUGAGGGGAAGAAUCACAUCAGCCCCAAUUGGCUCUCCGAGUCAUUGGAAUUGGUUUCUCUUUCAGGUUUCUUUCUCUUGUGAUGAUUACUUGGCAACCUGAUAAUUAUAGAUAGUAUAUGAGACCUGACAAAAUAGUAAAAGAUUGACUACGAUAGCAAGAUAAGGGCAACAACUUCAUUUUGGCCGGCGAGGCCAAUCUAAAAACACUAAGCCAACAACAAGAACUGAGAUAUACUAUUAUCCAGAGAUGUAGAAUUCAUUGAAGAAUUGACUUCAUUGUUAUAGCAUUUCUUAUGCUGGUUGCAGGCCUGAAUCUCCCUUUCCAUCAACUAACCAAAUUAUAAGAAAAUACAUACCCCAAAUACAAGGCAGUGUCUGAAUCUCCCUUUUCAACAGUGCAAUUACAGGUCACAUCUGUACUGGGAAUGCUAUGGCUCAUAAGAGAAUUCUUCCUUUCAACAGGAUAGCAUUCCAGAUAGGAUUGGACUGGGCGAUCAGUUAACGGAAAGAAACCUCGUAGCUCCUCAACCUGUAUUGGUAGAGAAAAAUAAAAAUAGCUUAUGCUUAACCCAAAACAGAAAGAAUGAUAUUCAGUUUCAUCAAGAAAAAUAUAACUUGCCUGUCUGCGUAAAGUUUCAUUCUCGAGCAUAGCCCGCUGCUCCUGAGAACAGGAAUUAUAAUGAAUUAAUUACCUCUAAUGGUUUUUUUUUUUUUCUUUUAGAUCAUGUUUACAGAUAAUAAUCCACUUCAUUGACAGAGUUACACAACAGAAGAUGAUUGUACAACUUUUCAAGAUUCUCAAGGUGUGAUAUUUCACAUAUUAAAUGACUUUACACGAACUUGCUAUUUCUCACCAUUUUCAUACUACUAUCCUUAUUAUUCUCACUUUAGAGUUACUUCAAGUGUUUAUAACCAAUGUGUUGCAAUUUCUCCGAGACCUCACCUCCACCAUGCAAGUGUAACCAAGCAUAAUUCCCGUGUGUCUCGUUAUCAAGAUCCCUAUUUUAUUUUCAAUAUGAUCUUAUUAUUGGAGACCACUGUAACAUCCCUCCUCAUAGUUCAAGAAUAGGAUUUUUAGACAAAAUAAAGAACGCAGAGCAGGAUCCAAUAUACCUGUAAUCUUGAUUGCUCUAGUUGUUCCAUGAGCAAUUGUUCCUGAAAUGGCAUGAAUCCUUUUAAGGCCUCUUAGGUUAACAAAUUUUCACUAGAAACAAGAACUAAUUAACCUAAUAGAUCUGAUGAACUUGGGCAAAAUGUCAUAUAACCUUCUUCUCCUUUACAGAUAACAACCCUUCAUUAAGCUGCUGCUCCAGAAGCUGAAGCUCUUUCAUGCUCAUGCUAAUCAAGUUCUUACCCAACAGCUGUCUAUAAAAACUGAACAAUAAUUAGUUUUAGGAACAGCAUUAUCUCUGUAUUGGAUAAAAUUGAAAUGCUUAAAUCAUAACAGACAAUUAAGAUGACAUACGACUGUUUCAUUUGUAGCUUUGCAAUUUCAUCCUUCAGAUUAUCUGCCUCCUUAGAGUCUUGCUUCUGAAACAAGUGUAUACUUGAAAUCAAUCAAAUUUAUACUUUCAACAAACAUACAACCAUUGUAAGGAAAAAUAAAUGAAACACAAGUAUUUGGAAAAGAAAAUUUUGUCAAGGAAUAAUACAUUUUACCAACAAGUAAACUGUUGUUUCGACUAGAAGUAACCACAUGCCAUGCACACCAAACUCUAAAUUAGUUUCCAACUAUCAUCUUGAGAUACAGCAUAAAGCCAACAUGCAGAUGAAGAAAUUGAAAUAUGUUGUUUCAAGACCAGAGGAAAACCAGAUUUGCAUACGUAACCAUAAAUUGCAGAUUACCUCUACUUUAUUUUCCACUUGAGCAAUCUCUGAAGAACCUUGAGAACACUUGUUGUAUCUAGAAAUUGUUUUCUUCAUGCUGCACAAAUGAACAAUGAACAAUGAAUAAGAAAGUACGAGUUUUUACUGUGACUCUCUCUCUCAUACACAUUCCAAUAAUUCUGGUUUCCUCUAUCACAUACGCACAUACAUUCCAACAUUUCUGGUUUCCUCCCUAAUAAAAUUUUCUUCCAACAAAUCUUUGCAUUCUAUAUUUGUUUUCUGGCAUCCCCUCACUUCAUUCCCUUUUGUUUACAACUCGUUAGCUACAAUCAUUUCCAUUUUGUACGAUCUAGAGUUGUAUCUACUUAAACUCCCAUUACAUAAAUAUAGACUAUGAACCUAAUUAAUAAACACGCUGAAACAAACUAUCCUUGAGAAAGCAGAGCACCUCUUAUAUCCCAUAGUAGGACAGCCUCACUAUCUCACUAAUCUAUGACCACUGGGGGUAACAUAUGUAGACACUGACGUAGAUUAACAUGUCGCUCUUGGAAAAACUUCAGAGGCUAACCAAAGACAGUACCAUCCAAACAAUAAAAUCGAUCAUUUUGCCAUGAAUUGAUGCCAAGUUUCUAUUGAAAAUUUAAAUGAGAAACUCAGUUGGGACAUUAAAGGAAUGUAGCUUUUUACCUUGAUGUAGGUAUAAAGGCAAACAAACAUUGAUAAUUUGAAAACAAUUGUAUCCUAGAAAACCUAAACAAAAUCUUAUAAUAAUAAUAAUGUAAUAUGUAUCAGCAGGAAUGAAAAAAAAGGGCCCAAAAAUGAAAAUUUCAAAUUUACAUGCCAAAAACACAUGCAACAAUUAAUAAAUAAAAAGGUCACAGACAAGUCCAAAGACUUAUUUAUUUGUCAAACAUUUACUGUUACUAAAAAUUUUCUACUGAAUUCAUUAUAAAUGACCAAAAUUAGCCUUUUUUUCUUAAGAUGAUAAUAAUAAAAGUAGUCCUCAAUUCUCAAAUGUAAUUUGAAAUAGGGGAAGAACAACGGGGUGAAGUUCAUAACAAAAUGACAGAGAAGACCAGAAAUUCAAAACUAUCAGCAGAUAAAAUCCAAACAAAACAUGCAAGAAUGCAAACCCUGGUAAACACCAUUUUGAUCAUCAAGAAUAAAGAAAAAUGUCAUAAACAAUAAAUAUUACCCUUAGCCUUUGUGAUUAAAAGCAAAGAGAAAAAGAGUCAAACUCCUCACACAAAAAAGGCCAAUAUAUUUCAAGGAAGAUAAAUAGUAAAUUCUCAGAUAUAAUCAACAAAGAAAAAAAUGCCCAUGCAAUGAUAAAAAUUCAAAAAAUUAUAUAUUUUUUUAAAUAUAAAGUUGUGCAUUACAUACCCAGAGCUGGAAAACUCAAAGAGCUUGCCAGUAUUGGAGAAAAUGAUGACAGCAACCUCAGCAUCACAGAGAAUGGAAAGUUCCCUAGCCUUCUUGAGCAAACCAGCACGCCUCUUGGAGAAUGUGACUUGCCUGCUAUUAGCAUUCUCAAUUCUCUUUAUCUCUAUUUUCCCCCUACCCAUUUUUUCUUAUCUGCUCUUCUCGAAACCCAGAAAAACAGCAAGAAUAUGGUCCUUUUAAUUCAAUGUUUAGAACAAAAGACCAACAACUUUUUCCAUUGGUUUUAAAUUUUGCUUUGUUUAUUAAGAGGAUUGGAAGAGCUUAAUUGGGAAAAGACUUGGAAAAAGAAAGGAUUGCUAAAAUUAGAGAUUGGGAAGAUAAAAAGGCAGGCGUUUUUGAGAGUGGAAACGGCAAGUUUGCAUGGCCUCUGCAUUCUAUUUCGAGUGUGCUUGCAUGAUUGAUUCCUUUGCCACAUUUGGAGAGCGUAGGUGAUGAUGGGGCCUAUCUCUGGGCCCCACCUUUUGUUUUUAUCCUUAAUCUGGUGGGUCCCACUUGGGGAGUUUUAUUCUUUUUUUUUUGCAUGUAUAUGUUUUAUUACUUUCAGGGGUAUUUAUGGGCUCCACCUGCCACCUGGGAUGGUUUUGGUGACUACUACGGUCAGUUUCAUUGUAAUGAGAUCCUAUUACGUAUCAACCGUUGAGAAAUCCUCCUCCAAUUUUUAUUAAAUCCUUAAUAAUUUGAGUCCAUUGCCCCAUUUUAAAAAUCUUCACUUGCUUUUUCUUAUGUCCCCAAGUGACCUUCAUCCAUCCAAUGGUUCCUGUCAAAUCUAACAGUAUAAUAAGAUCCUCGGUAUGAUUGGUAACUGAUCUUGGUAUAAAUUUUUAUUUAUCUCGAAUAUUAUUUGAUUUUAUAUUUAUUAAAUUUGAUCUUGAUUAGAUUCAAUUUUUUUUUUUUAAAUUUUUUUAUAUUUGAACUGAUAGUGUAUAAAUCGUAUCAGAUUUAAAAUUAAUAAAAUAUUAUUUUUAAAUAUAAAAUAUUAUUUUUUAAAAUAUAAAUAUUUAAAUAUAUAAUUAUAUAAAUAAAAAAUUAAUUUUAAAAAAUUAUUUUUAUAUAAUAUUAUAUCGGGUUCAGUUUGCCUAAAACUCGAAUCCAAUUCGAUCUUUUUUUAAUAUUACUCGAUUCAAAAUUCGAUUUAAAAAAAAAAAAUUAAUCUUAUGAGUUCGGAUCAAAUCGAAAUCCGUCGAAGACGAAUUGAAUUACUUAUCUUAAUAUAAAAGAUCUCAUUAUAAUGAAACUCAUCGUAGAGGUCACCCCCACGAUUUGAAAAAUUUUUCCUAUUCCCUUCUAUGGCAUGGCAUGCUAGAUUUAGUACUUUUUAAUAGCUACAUUUGGCAAGGGAAUUGCUAAGUUUAGAGACGGGGAUUUGCCAUAAAUGCUCCUUUAGAUUUCAAAAUCUUUUCCCAUACUUAGUAAUUUUAGCUAGAUAUGGGCAGCUGGUAAAACUUGUACCAAAUUUGGAGAUCGGUCACUACUUGCAUUUUUUAACAUUGGCAAGAAAGAGAAAGUGGCAAAGUUCCAUUGCCAAAUUUACACUACCAUUCCAAAAUUAGAAGAAGAAACUUUUAACGGCUAUUUCCCUAUUUUGCAUCUCCGUUCAAUAAAUGAUAGGAACAUAUAUCAAACAUUUUAACAGCUUUAUGUUGAACAGCUUGCGGAUCAAAUAUGAAUAGAGUUUUAGCUUGGUCAGCCAUUUAUCUCUUCGUUGAUUCUGUCUUUGCUUUUUGUUGGCUGUUCAAGAUGAUUUAAGAAGCGAUCAAUCCUUUUGUAAAACAAGAAUUUAAAGACAGACAACGAACCACACCCAUAAUUAUAAGAAAGAUGUAUGAUUACGAGUGUUAAGAUCAGUGCAGAUAAAGGAAACGAAACAUGCCAACGAUACUUUAAAUCACUAGCAUUCUUCCAUCAGGGUUAUCUUUUCCUUGGCUUCUUAUUUUUUAGUGUUCAACAGCUGACCUAACAUGUCAAACAACAAAAAUAGAAUUCUUUUUUUGUUACACACAAGAGAAUGAUCUGUCCUAAUUCGUGGAAGUGCCGAUAAUUAUACAAAAUGCAAUUUUGAAGCUUGUACAGCAGAGUAAAAUGCUAUCUCAGCACUUCAAAGUUACUUAUUCACACUAUAAAAUGUCAGCUGUUAAUGGAUGGGUGGAUAUCCUACUUAGCUCUGUGUCAUCCAUCUUUUUGCAUACAUAUAUAAAGUGAGAAUCCGGAUCUUCCAAAACAAAGUCGGCCGGAAUUAAGCCCCUUUCAGUGAUAGGAACAGGCUCCAAGUAUGACCUUGUUGAUGAAAUACCUCCAGGCCUCUUAAAAUCUGGUCUGGCUGCAAAGGAAUGAAGACAUGCGUUUAAAAAAAUAAAAACAGUUUAAAAACUCACUAACAAGUGUGUGCACAAAGAAGAACAUGGGCAAGUAAAGGUGCAGCAUCUAUAAACUUUUGAAAGUUAGUUCUCCGACAGCAGUUAAAUAAAUGGUGAUACAAGAUAAAAUAGUUUAACAAAGUAAUUUGCUUUAGAAUGGCCAUAUGAUCAUCAAAUUCCAGAACCGGUACAACUUUAAUCUCCUGCAUAUAUAUAUAUAUAUAUAUAUAUCAGACAAGGAGCACCUGCAACCAAUUGGGAAUGUGCUCAGUGACCUGUCCUAUUUAGCACAUCAAACCCCAACUAGUCCUGUCUCAGUAGUUCAGAUCGAAAACAGGAUUUAAUCAGGUCAAACCAUCAACCCAAAAACCAUAAAUGCAGAAGAUAAUAUAGAUGCUUCUCCUUUACAACAAUCCUUUCCUUGCAUCUAUUCACUUCUUAGCUGCCACCAUGCCUUGAAUCUGCCUGAUGGAUAGUUCCAUUGAGUUUGCACCCAAAUGCAUGCCCAAGGUUAGGACAGCAUUGGUUUCUAGAAAGAACAUCUUAACACAGAUUUGGAUAAUAAAAUGUGCCCUAAAAAUAAAACGCCUUUUGUGUGUUAAUCUUAUUUACAUAACUUCUAGGGAGGAUCUCUAACUUAAGAGUAUCUAAAAGUUAAGAGACAACAGAUACCAUUCAUGGGAAGUGUAAUGAGGAGAAAUGCUAGUAUGUUUCUUCACUGUCAAGUCACUAAACAAGUAUUGUCCUCAGAUCUGUACUUCCUCCAGAUCAUGGAAAGUGGAGAAUCAAAUUCUAACCCAAAGAGGGGGCUGAGAUGAAGUAAAGAGAAUGCAAAAUAGACUUUGGGGAUGUUAACAUGCUCUUGUGGCUCUCUUAAUGAAUAAAUAGAAAAUUAGAAUGAGAGUUCAUGGUAUAUAUUCAAUGAAAGCAGAAAGCAGAUCCCAAUCAGGUAAAAUCACAUAAGAUUAACAGUAAGCAAAGAAGAAACCUAAUUAGCAUUUGUAACUCAGUACAACUAAAAGAGGUGCGAAAUUUAAAUUCAAAAACAUUUACUAAAAACAAAACAAUCUGAAAACAUGUAUAACUUUUCACAACUAAAUGAUGAGAAAGAAAAAUGCUUAAACAGAUAAAGGAGCGGAAAUAGAACUUACGUAGGUUGUACAACACAAUAGUCCAAUUAUAAGCUGGCCGGCUCAAAUGAGGCAUCCUCACUGAUGGAUCACCAUAGGUUAUCUGGUAAAGGCAAUUUUAAGAACACAUCACUCAUUUUGAAGCUUCAGAUUAAAAGAGGGAACAUUGCAAAAACAGAGUUUUCAGAUUUGGCAAAAUGGUUACCAACAUAUAGAUCCCUCCAGGUUUGAGAAGCCUACCAAUAAGAAAACAAAAAGCAUCAGCUACCAAUUUUAAAAUUGAAUGCAUGCACAAUUGGGGUAACUCCUAUUGACAAGACUAUGUCUCUAGUGACUGUAAUCAAGUAACAGGUUCAAGAAAUUUUCUAUUAUAAUAAACUACUAUUACGAAAUAAGGGAUAUAUGUUAUAAAUGCAAUUAAGUUUACAACCUGCUCACUUCACCCAGCAUCCGAGAAGCACUUAUUGGAGCAUCCGUGCCACACUAAGAAUCAUAAAAAAGAAGAAAUCUUUAGGUUUUAUGAAAUGAACAGAAGAAACAACGAAAGCAUUUGAAUAUGGAUCAUACCAUCAAAGAAUCAAGAGUUCCUUAAUCGAAUUUCAGCAGCUCAUGAGUACAGAUUCAGCAACAAGAAAAAAAAAAGUCUCAUCAACAUUUGAAGCAGGAAGUCAGCAACUUUUGAAAAAGUAUUUGAAACAAGGAUAGUGCCAUACCUUUAUCAAUGAUACCGUCAAAAGAUUCAUCCCCAAAAAAACUCAUAUCCCUAACAUCCAUUUGCAUGUCUAUUUAGAUUAAUCAAGGAAACCACAGAAAACAGUUAUAGCUACUUGAAGGACAGAAAAGGAAAUGGAACAAGCAAGAAUCAUAAAAACAAAAAUAAAGGUAGGGAAACUUUCCCAGAAAAGAAAAAUUGAAGAUUCUGUCAUAGUUAAAAGGAUACAUUUCAGCUGAGGAAUAUACUCGUAUUUCCUUCUCAUCAUGUCAAUAGCCACUGAGGAAAUGUCAAUGUUCAUAAUGUCUUCAUAUCCAUCCUUGACCAUGUCCUCCGACAUAACUACAGAGAAAAAGCAUUUUCUAAAAUGUAAAUCCCUUAACAGAUAGAAUGAAGAAAACAAAGGACAACCCCAUUCUCUACUAAUAUUGACCAUUAUCAGGUAGCAAACAGAGACACCAAGGGCAAAGGAAGACAAAACUUCCAGAUGAGAACUAUGAACGUUCAUGUUGGAAGACAAUUAACAUUCCAUGAAUCUUUAACUUUCUAUUUCAACUUUUCCCAGACUUAGUCAGCAAGCAAACAGGGUAAAGAUACAUAGAAACCCUAGAUUUGAAUUUACAAACCCUUUAGCCUAAAAAUCACAUUCAUCAAAUUCAAUCCCUUCAUCCCUUACCCUUUUCCACACUUCCUCAGCAAACAAAAGAUAUGCACUUUAAUUAAUCAGAAACACUAUGCAAAACGAAAUAUAAAUAAAUGAAGAAAGAAAGAAAAAAAGUAAUAGAAAGGUUUUAGAAAAAGAAAUAGUGAUAAAAAAAGAAGAAGCAUAGAGUGGGGAGAAAUUACGGGCAUUUCCACAGCCGACCAUGAGGACACGAGAGGAGGUAGGGACGUAGUUACGAAUAAAAGGGCGAAGAGAAGAGUAACGCUGGUACCAGUCAAAGGCACCUCCAGCUUCCAUAACAUAACGGGCGUCCCAGUACAAGGCAUCGCCAUAGUUGUAGGUGUUGCAGCUUGAAACAUCCCGGUACAUCUUCUUCCCCUCCUUUUAUAUAUUUUUUUCUAACCACAACUACUGUAUAUUUUUUCUUUUUUCUUUGGGUUCCACGACAGGGGUUUUUUUGGAAGGGGCGUUUGGUGAGGCAAACGGGAUGGGAAGCGAGAAGAGGUAAGGCUUUUGGGUUGGGUGGUUCCGAGCGUGUAGGUGGACGUAUUUGGGGGGAUUGAUGGUGGGGUCGAGGGGGCAAGGAGUGGUUUGGUUUUGCAUUAAAGGAGGCUUAUGUCCAAAGCAUGAUCUAGUUUGGUGCAUAGACAAGAUCAAACCAUUGUUGGAUAGUUGGAUGUUCAUUCAACUAACAUCAGUUACUGUUUUUGACUUUUGACGAUAAAAUUCACUUUCCUUUCUGCAGUAAAAUUUAUUACUGGCUUAUUGCACUACAUAUUGCAAUUCGCCGUUUCUUUUUCUUUCUAUUCUCAACUCUGCGUCCUUCUUAAUAGGGAUUUUUCUUAUAAGAAGAUAUACUUUUUUUUUUUACCAUAAACAAGAUAAACAUAUUGAGUUAGUAUUAUUCUAUGUGAUACAUUUAUAUCUUGUAAAUCUUAUUAUCAUACUUAUAAUGUGGGUUUUGAAUUUUUAAUUAAUUUUGAAUUUCUUAAAUCGAAAAGCAUUGCAGUAAGUUGAGAUAUAUAAUAUAUAAUAUUAUGUUUGACUCUUAUAUUAUAUGUUUUUUUAAUAUGAUAUUUAUAUUUUAAAAAUAUUUAAUGUAAAUUUAUAUUAUAAAAUCAUGUGAUAAUAUGGUACUUGUGAUUAAUCCCAUACAAAAAUAUAGAUGUAGCAAUCAGUCUAUGAAAUGAUAAGAUGUGAAAUUUUGUGCCACAUCGGUGUGUCAUAUCAUAAAAAAUUGUUUUAUAGCUUGUACAUGUGACAUAAAUAUGAAGUUCAAGUGACAAUGGGUUACUGUACAUGUUAUUGUCACUUAUCAUUAUGCUGGUACCUUUUUUCCCUUGAAUUAUUAUUUUAUUUUACAAACCAUGACAUGCAGUGCCAACAUAUGGAAUAAAUGAAAAAAAAUUGAAAGAAUUUAUGAAGUACGUCAAGAUGACAAUGGCGGAUGAAAGUUGGACUAAGAUCGACCAGCUCUCUAUCAACGAUCUAGAUGGAUUCAUGGUUGAAUUACGAAAUUGUGAGAAUCUUAAGCAUGUUCGUGCAGGCUCAACGGGCAAGGUCAAGCUCCUCUUUGAUCGCCACAAUCCGCCAUUCGGUUUGCACUUUGCGGCGCCCAAAUAGCAUAGCCUAUGGCCUUAGCAUAUGGAUUAACCGUACAAAUCUUUAAAUUGACCAUAAUCUCUAGUUAUAUACAGUAAGAAUUUAGUAAAGCGGAGUCAACCAAUUUUACCCAAAAAGUCAAGCAAACUUAAAAAUGAAAAAAGAAAACCUCCCUUAUUUGCGUUUGUCCUAUUGGAUUUGUGCCUUGGACUCCAAACUUGAUUGCUUUGAGCCCACUUCCUUGGCCCAGCACACCAUUAACCCAAGCCGAAUUAGGGAAGUUAAAAUAUGCGCAUCAGAUUUCAGGUCAUAAAACAAAGGGUCUUUUUAGUCUUUUAACUUAGUCAAGGUAAAAACGGUGAGCCACAUGUCAUGUCCUGAUUCGACAUGCUGACAAAAGCCCAACGUCUUUCGUCACAGAAACUAUCACCUGCCUCGUACGCUUCUACACUCUCACAAUCCCUUUGUUAAAGUUAUAUUUUCGUUCCUGAUUUACCCUUCCAAUUUAUGAAAAUUACGUCUCUGUCGGUUUUUUCCCCAGAUACAGCUUUGAAUAGAACCAAACUCAAGAUCAGAACACGAAGAACGACCGCAGGAGCUAGAAACCAAAAACAUCAGCACAAACAAAAAGAAGACGACAUAUAAUGAAAUUACCAAGUUUACCACUCUCCUCCGUCCAAUAAUCAGAAAUUGCCAAAAAAAAGAAAAAAAAAACCACUCCACACUGUUUCCGCACGGAACACUGCCCUCUUGCUCCUCGUCUAUCAUCUCUCUCUCUCUCUUUCUCUCCUCUUUCUGAAUUCCCUGAAUCAGAUCAAACCCUAAUUCUCCAAAUUCUCAUCGUUUUAGUCCAAAUCAGAUCUCUAUUUGGGGUUCUUCCUCGUCAAUUCACUUAUUUGCUGAUAAUUGUUAUCUGUAUCUGUUUGUUUCUCACUGUAUCGUCAAAGAAAUUGAUUGACAUUUUUGGGGUAAGGAACCGUAAAAUUUGCGUUUAAUCUAAUGGCGUGUAUAAAAGGGGUGAAUAGAUCGGCGUCGGUGGCACUGGCGCCGGAUGCCCCUUACAUGGCUGCGGGGACGAUGGCUGGGGCGGUGGAUCUGUCCUUCAGCUCAUCGGCGAAUCUCGAGAUCUUCAAGUUUGAUUUCCAGAAUGAGAAUCGUGAGCUUCCCGUGGUAGGCGAGUGCCCCAGCUCAGAGCGAUUUAACCGCCUCGCUUGGGGCAAGAAUGGAUCCGGUUCCGAUGAGUUUUCACUCGGGUUCAUUGCUGGUGGCCUUGUUGACGGCAAUAUCGAUCUUUGGAAUCCCUUAACCCUGAUCCGGUAUUGGAUAUUCUUGCAAUCUAUCUAUAAUGUACAUAUCGUUUGAUUUGUCUAAUUCACUUUAAUUUUCGAUUGAAUUAGAAAUGUGGUCAAUUAAGAGUGCAUUGUUGUAAUCUGUAAGUUAAUUGGAUAUGUUUUGGGUUUUAGGUAUAUAAUGUUUGUGUGGAUGGGAAAACGGUGACUGCUUUGUAUCUACUUGGGAUUAUAUUAUUCUGUUAUCUAAUGCACAUUGACACAUUUUGAUGUGGGCUUACUAUAAUUUUUUAAGUCUUACGUGAAUUGGAUUGCCUGGUUGUUUGGAGCGGAUCAAUUGGGACCUGGAGAGAAUUUGAUAUUUCAUAUGGUUAGUAAGAAAUGGUUAUUUAGGCUGUUGGGCUUGUUUACUUUGACUCUAGAGUUUUUAAGGUUUGAUUUAGUAAUAAUGUGCCCAUAUUCGUGAGUUCUAGAAUACUUAUUAUAACUGUAUUUGAUGAAUGGUUGGUUGAAAUUGAACUCUGGAUGAAGUAUUUUGAAAUUUAAUUUCCCUUUAAAUUGUUACUCUCUUGUUUGCUUGUGCGGAGCUGGAAUAAGUUGGAUAAAUGGAUGGUAAUUUGUUGUGCCUGAUCUUUGCAUUGCCUUCGAGUAGGCGACAGGCAUGAUUUUCAUUUUUGUCUGAUUUGGCAAUGGUAUUGUUUGGCUGUUAGGAAUUAGGAGUGAGAGUUAAUCAAAAUUGGAGCUUCAUAGUUUAGAGCAAAAUAUGAUGUUUGCAUGUUUCUUGUGUAUCUUUCAGAUGUUUUUUUAGUAUUUGAAUCAUAAAUCAGGCUGAUUAUAUUGUGUUGGGUUAGGACUGGAAGAUAUAUAGAAGAAUGUUGUUAAAGUGCGGGAAAUUUUUUUAUUUCCUGGUAUUGGAUUGCUGGUUACAUUUGGAUGAUGCUUUAUUUUAUUAGAGGCUAAGAAUCCAAAAGGAAAAGAUUAUCUUCAUCUUUUGGGAGAAAUUUUUUUUAUUAAAAUGGUUCUUGAUUGGGACCCUUUGUUAGGGAGGUGGUAACUUUUUUUAUCUGUUCAUUUAUGGUCAUUGUUGUCUAGAUGAUUGGAUUUGAUUACUUUCAUAUUUGUCUUUUGAGGAGUUUUUGGCUAAUUAUUACUAGUAUUCUUGUGUUCUUUAACAAUCUCAUCAUGUUUUGGGAUAUUUAUUUUGUUAUUAACAUUGUUUUAUUCAUUGUUUGAAACAAAGAAAGAGAAGAAGAAAAGGGUGAAGAAAAUUUAAGUGAUCUACACCAUAGAUAUCUUAUUAUAUAUGAUUAAAGUAGUAGUAAUUUUGGUUGCUUCAUUUCCCCAGCUCUGAGGCAAAUGAACAAGCUCUUGUUGGACACCUUUCAAGGCACAGAGGGCCUGUGAGUUUCCUUUUUCUGUGAUUAAUGCUCAAUUGCUUUGACAUACAUGAUAUUUGUCCUCAAGAAAUUGAAGACUGCCUGGUAUUUACAUCUUUCCUUUCCCCAUAUUUUAGGUUCGUGGUCUUGAGUUCAAUGCCAUUGCUCCAAACUUAUUAGCAUCUGGGGCAGAUGAUGGUGAAAUCUGCAUCUGGGAUUUGGCAGCACCUGCACAACCCUCUCAUUUUCCACCUCUUAGGGUACGUGCCAAUCAUCCAUUACUUGUUGAAUUGUAAACCUCAUGCGUCUAUUAUGCCAUUGAUAAUAAUCUCAUAAGUUCUAUUAUGCUGUUGGUGUUCUACUAAAUGCCUUCUUGUGUGUGUUGCCAUAUCUUUACUGUAGUAAGCAUGCUUUUCAAUAUAUAUUAGUGGUUCAGCUAGAAAUCAGCCCACAAGAACACCACUUUCCCCUGCCCCACCCCCCCCUACCCCCCCCCCCCCCAAAAAAAAAAAGAAUAAAAAAUCUACCGAGGCAUCUGACAUAGUUUUUGUGUCAUCAUGCAGGGUAGUGGUUCUGCCACUCAAGGUGAAAUCUCAUUUCUGUCUUGGAAUAGCAAGGUUCAACAUAUAUUGGCAUCAACUUCAUAUAAUGGAACAACUGGUGAGUAAAUGAAUGGACGCCAGACUAUUUGUCUUGUCAUUUACGUUUAGCGGGGAAGAUAAUACGUAUUUUUUAAUUUUUUAUUUUCCAGUUGUUUGGGACUUGAAGAAGCAAAAACCUGUGAUAAGGUAAAUUUCAUGUUAUCUACCAAGUGAAAAUUUUCUGUGUCUGCAGGUUAUUGUGACCUGGCACAUCUUUUGACCCAAUCUGUUUUUUUUUUUUUUUACUUUUUAAUUGACAGUUUUGCUGAUUCCGUAAGAAGACGGUGCUCUGUUUUGCAGUGGCAUCCUGAUGUUGCCACUCAACUUGUUGUUGCAUCUGAUGAAGAUGGUUCACCCGCACUUAGGGUAAUGAUCUUGUCGAUGAUUUUGCUUCUGUUGAGGAUUACCAUUUGUUAGGAAUUUGUUAAUUUCUGGUAUUUUUGCAAACAGCUUUGGGAUAUGCGGAAUAUAAUGUCACCAGUGAAGGAGCUUGUAGGGCACACAAAAGGUAACCAUGCUUGACAAGUUGAUGCAUCGUUUUAAACUUGCUGAUAGUUUUUCCUUCUUUGCUUUUGGGUGUUUGUUUCCGUACUUGAUAUGACAAUUAUAUGCUAUUAAGUAUUUGCUAUUUCACUUUGCUCACUCUCUCUAAAAUUGAAAAGCAGUAGCCUGAAAAAUUUAAUAAGAACGACAACAAUGAUGGAAAGGCUAAAUUAUUAUUUAACUCUUUUCAGUUUUAACCUGAUACUACACCAUAUAAUAUGAGAUGUAUUUAGUUAGCUUCUUAAAGUCAGAGUGAGAAUUAGAUUAUUAAGAUUGAAUAGAUGCCCUUCAGUCAGAAGGGGUCCAUGAUAAAUUUAGGACUUUGUCUCUUUCCUGCUAUGGGUCAUUUGCUGUUUAAUUUUUCUGAUAGUUAUCCAUCUCCCUGUUCAGUUUGUGCAUUAUUUUUCUAGGUCUUUUGUUGUUGUAAGUUAAAAAGGAGUUUUGUUAUUUUAAGUUCUUAUAUUUGACUGCAUUUAUUGUUGCAGGUGUAAUUGCAAUGGCAUGGUGUCCCUCUGACGGCUCUUAUUUACUCACAUGUGCCAAAGAUAAUCGGACUAUUUGUUGGGAUAUGGUUACUGGAGAGGUGGGGAAUGAGUUAACUAUUGAUCUGCUUCAGGCAUUCCUUCUGGAGAUCUGUCUGUUCCUUUUAUCAAACAAGUAUUUUCUGAAUUGUGAUUUUCCUUUAUGUUAUUUUUCUGGAAUAGAUUGUCUGUGAACUGCCUGCUGGUACCAACUGGAACUUCGAUGUGCACUGGUAUCCGAAGAUACCUGGCGUAAUAUCAGCAUCUUCCUUUGAUGGCAAAAUUGGCAUUUACAACAUUGAGGUGUGACCUUGUCCAAGUUAUCUUUCCUAUCAUAAUUACAUUUUUGUUAAAAAAAAAAAAUUCUAGUUGUUGGACAUACGUAUGACUGAUCAAUUGCAAUUAGCCAAUAAUUAUCAUACAUUUGUUUAGGGGUGGGAUUUUUAUGUAACUUGUUGUGACAAGCACUGCUUUUGUAGUUUAAUCUGGCAAACGUUUGAAGCUUAUUGUUCUUGCUGGUUUGUCAAAGAAAAAGAUACUUGUCUGAUUACCUGCAAUUUUUGCCUCUCAGAACUUUUUUCCUCCCUGGACCCUAGAUUUAGUACUUCUUUUAGGUAAUUUUUUUACCUUGUUCUGCAGGGUUGCAGCCGUUAUGGUGUAGGGGAGGGUGAUUUUGGUGCAGGUAAUUCAUCAAACAUAAUUAUAUUUAUAUGUGUGACUGCAGCAGUUAGUUUGGCAGCCUUCAAUUUGCUUCUGGUAGAACUAUCCAUGUUCUCCAUGUAUUAGCUUGCACAUAUAUAUAUAUAUAUCAUAAUUUGACCGUGGUACUAUUAAGCUUUGUUGGUCUAGGAGAAACAUAUUGAUGACUGCCAAUAUAAUUUGGGGAAGAUAUGCAGACUAUGGGCCAAGGCUGCUUAAAUAGUCUUUAAUCUUUAUCUCUGUUAAACUCUAACUUAUUGUUUCUAAGAUUAUAUAUAUUUUCAUUGGUAAUUUAGUUGUAACUAGUUCUAAUGUCUUUUUAUGCAGUGACUUUGAGAGCUCCAAAAUGGUAUAAACGUCCUGUUGGGGCAUCUUUUGGAUUUGGUGGAAAAGUUGUAUUUUUUCACCCUUGUGUGUCUGGUUUAGGUGCUUCUGCAUCAUCAGAGGUAAAUAUUCUUAGGCAGCAAGGUCUGUUUCAUUCUAUUUUAUUUGAUUUCCACUGAUAUUCUUCUUUUUGGGAUCUUAUGGUCCUGUACGCUAUUUUCAGGUUUUUGUGCAUAAUUUAGUUACUGAAGAAAGUCUGGUCUGCCGUUCAUCUGAAUUUGAAUCUGCGAUACAGAAUGGGGAGAGGUCUUCACUAAGGGUUUUAUGUGAAAAGAAAUCUCAAGAGUCUGAGUAUGUCAUCUGAAUUAAGAAAUUGUAGUUAUUUUCUUUCUUGUCUUCUGUCGAAUAAUUUUAUCUACUUCCACCAAUUAAUACUUUUGAUGAUUCAUUUGGAAUUCUGUACAGAUCUCAGGAUGAUCGAGAAACUUGGGGCUUCUUAAAGGUGAUGUUUGAAGAUGAUGGGACAGCUAGGACAAAGUUGCUCAUGCAUCUUGGUUUUAGUGUAUCUGCAGAAGAAAAGGAUACUGUACAAGAUGACCUCUCCCAGAGUGUAAAUGAUAUUACACGCGAGGAUAAAGUGGCAGAAAAAGUGGGCUGUGAGGGUGAGAAAGAAGCUACCCUCUUUGCAGCUGAUAAUGGGGAAGAUUUCUUCAACAAUCUUCCGAGUCCCAAAGCUGAUACACCCGUUUCAACUUCCGAAAAUAAUUUUGCUAUUGAGAGCACAGUUCCUAGUGCAGAUCUAAUACCUCAAGAAUCAGAUGGACUGGAGGAAAGUGUGGAUCCAUCAUUUGAUGAUGCUGUUCAACGUGCAUUGGUGGUGGGUGACUAUAAGGGAGCAGUUGUGCAGUGCAUUGCUGCGAAUAAAAUGGCUGAUGCUUUAGUUAUUGCUCAUGUUGGUGGUGCUUCCUUAUGGGAGAGCACACGUGAUCAGUAUCUUAAGAUGAGCUGUUCCCCUUACCUGAAGGUGAAUUAAAUUUUUAUAUUUGCUUAGCACUGAAGGAUUUAAUCAUAUAUCUUUAUAAAAUAGGAAUCGAGAUAUCAAUUCUUUACAUGGGUUAUAUUUCUCAUCGGCUACAAUAUUAUUAAUUAUUUUUUUGAGGAAAAUUAUAUGUUAACUGUGCUGUUUGUCUGUAGGUUGUCUCUGCAAUGGUGAACAAUGAUCUCAUGAGCCUUGUCAACACCAGGCCUUUGAAAUUCUGGAAAGAAACACUAGCACUCCUCUGUACGGUAAGUUUCUAUUUUGGAAGUAGAUAUGUUGUGGUGUAGCAACAAAUUAUAUAACUGUACUUGUUGCUAUUAUGAUGGACUUAUUAUCAUAUUUGAUGAGCAGUUUGCCCAGAGAGAGGAAUGGACUGUACUCUGUGAUACGCUUGCUUCAAAACUAAUGGCUGCGGGUAAUACUCUGGCUGCAACUCUCUGUUAUAUAUGUGCUGGAAAUAUUGAUAAAACAGUAGAGAUUUGGUCAAGGUGCCUGACAACUGAACAUGAUGGGAAAUCUUAUGUUGAUCUUCUCCAGGUAAGUUAGCAAUUUAUAGAAACAACACAUUUCAAACUUAAGUUGUCUAAUCAGAAAUCUGAUAAUAGAGGUUUAUUCUCUAGGAUUUGAUGGAAAAGACCAUUGUCCUUGCUUUGGCAACUGGGCAGAAGCGAUUUAGUGCAUCCCUAUGCAAGCUUGUUGAGAAAUAUGCUGAAAUUUUGGCUAGUCAAGGGCUUCUAACAACAGCAAUGGAGUACUUGAAACUCUUGGGGUCUGAUGAGCUGUCACCUGAACUUGUGAUCUUAAAAGAUCGUAUUGUGCUUUCUACAGAACCUGGUAUGUGCUUUAGGAGAUGGUCAAUGGUUACUGCUAUUGUGCUGUUACAUAUGGGUUUUGUGAUCUACCAUUGCUAAUUUAUAUUUAUGCAAAUAAUUCACAUGAAAAAAGGUCAUGCUGGUGACUGAAAGAACACCAGUUGAACUUGGUAGAAAACUUUGUUGAGCUUAUGUAAUUUGGAGUGCUUGUGAUGCUUUAGAUUAAACUAAGAACUGUUAGCUACUUUUUCUGGUGUCUAAUUCUUUCAAUUUAUCUUACAGGUGUUUUUGUGACAUACCUGUAAUAGCAAUAUUUAUGUAUGCAAGAAAUUAGCUUACUGAUGCCUGAGCUAAGUUUUGUGGCAUGCAAUAUAUGCUUGUUGAGGAUAUCUGUUUUUUAUUCUUGCAGAGAAAGAAACUAAAUCUGCUGUUCCUGAGAACUCUCAUCCAACAAGUGAGCCUGUCUUUGAGCCUUCACAACAUUUAUAUACGGUGCUUUAUCUUGCACUUUUCUUUUAUGUGAUGUGUCUCUCAUUGAAUGCUCCUUGAUAAGCUGUCGUGAUGUUUUUUUGGUUUUUUGUUACUUUCCCUCAUUGCUUAGAAUUCAGCUGCAUCACUAAUUCAGCCAAGUGUUCCUACUAGUGCUUAUGAUGAAAAUUAUCAGCAUUCUUUUUCUCCGUAUGGAGGAUAUGCACCUCCUGCCUCAUAUCACACUCAACCGCUGCCUGCCAACAUUUUUGUUCCAACCCAAGCUCCUCAUGUUUCCCAGGUAUGCUGUAUUGGGUUUCUUUUUGUGCAUAUCACUCUAUUUGAUUGUAGGCCCUAAGCUAUGGCUAAGUUGUAAUUAUAGUUUUCUUCCGGUUUUACUUUUAAUCUAGCAUGCUAUCUCAACACCUAGAGACAAUUUGAUUCAAUGGAUAUUUUCAUUCGGUCGCUCUCUAUGAAUCAUACCAUCCAAUUGGAUGUAUCCUCAGGAAAAGAGAAUGCUUGUUUAGAGAUUUUUGAAGUGAAAGAUUGGAUUUGCUUAGGACAGCAUGCCAAGUUAAAACUAGCAUAGGAUUGGUAUGUGUUUGGAAGGUUUUUUUUUUUUUUUUUUUGGGGGGGGGGGGUGGGGUGUUAGUUUGCAAUUGAUCUUCAUUCACCUGAUAGUUUUUCAACCUACAAACCGUACAAUUGCUACUAUAUAAAAUUGGUUGUGGCUAGUUUAUCCUGCCUCCAAGACCCCCUAGGGCAGGAGAAAACUGGACAAACUGAAAAUCUGAACUAAACCAGCUUCAUCUUUUUGCUUGGAUUAACCUUGGUUUGAACAAACGACCUGAGCAUCUGUACAUACAAAAUUUAGUAAGAAGAUUAGAUAUUGGGUAGACAAGGUUCUGUGUUGUCCAAAAUGAGAACUUUAUCUUUGGCUUCCUAGUUUUCCUUGCUUUUUAUUUUAUUAUAUGCAUGAUGCUCUUUGCUUUUAUUUGUCAGCUUGAUGCUUGACUAAAUAGUUUCUUUUGUUUUUCCAGACAAGUUUUGCUCCUCCACCUGGCACCACUCAGCCUGCUGUUAGACCCUUUGUUCCUUCAAAUCCUCCUGUUCUAAGAAAUGCAGAUCAAUAUCAGCAGCCAACUACCUUGGGUUCUCAGUUAUAUCCUGUCUGUAUUCCUACAUUUAAUUUUAUGGUCGAUGCCAUAGUUAUUCUUCUGAGACUGGUAUACUGAUUAUUUUUGCAUGCCUUUCAGGGUGGUGCCAAUCCUACUUAUCCUGUACCCCCUGGGGCUGGUUCACUUGCACCUGUCCCAUCACAAAUGGGAUCAGUUCCUGGCCCCAAAAUGCCCCAAGUUUUAGCUCCCACCCCAUCACCUAGGGGAUUUAUGCCAGUAACUAACACAUCUGUUGUUCAAAGACCUGGGAUGGGCACAAUGCAACCACCCAGCCCUACACAGUUGGCAUCAAUACAACCAGCUGCAGCACCUGCUGCUCCUCCACCAACUGUGCAGACUGUUGAUACUUCAAAUGUACAUGGUAAUUGCUAAUUUCUUGGUUGCUAAUGUUAAUGUUAUACAUAUAUAUUGGAUUAUGGAGAUACUCUAGUCGUAUGGUAUGUCCACCUCACUGUCUGGGAUUAUUCCAGAAUGAUGGUUUACAAUCCAAAAAAUUAAGUAAUGUUUAUCUUUAAAUAAUUACCCUUUAUGAAAUACAAUAAUUUGUCACAAAAAUGAUAACUGGGAAAAUGUUUUACUAUUCUUUACAAUAGUUAUUCGUCAUUUUGAAUUUGCAUAAUCCACAUAAAAUAAGAUUGAAGGUAUAAUCUGUGGCUUCUGAACUUCCCAAAUAAAGAUGAAUAAAAUGUGUGGUUGUUUCAACAGUAAUCUCUGUUCAUUAAUGUCAGCAAACUAAUAGAUGAAGAAAUAUAUGCUGAUAUGUAAUACUUUUGGUAAUGACUUUACCUUGUUUGCUUUUCAGCCAACCAGAAACCUGUAAUCACAACCUUAACUAGACUUUUCAAUGAGACAUCUCAAGCACUGGGAGGUUCACAUGCAAACCCAGUUAAGAAGCGUGAAAUAGAAGACAAUUCAAGGAAAAUAGGCGCCUUAUUUGCCAAACUCAACAGUGGAGACAUUUCAAAAAAUGCUUCUGAUAAGCUUAUUCAGCUCUGCCAGGCUUUAGAUAAUAAUGAUUUUGGUACAGCCCUACAAAUCCAGGUAUGGUGGGGAAAGAAUGUUGUUUAUGUUGAUUUCCACAUGAUUGUUGGCAACUAAAAGUGCUUCAAUUUUUUUUUACCUCUUCCCUGAAACAGGUUCUUCUAACUACUAGUGAGUGGGAUGAGUGCAACUUUUGGCUUGCCACUCUCAAGCGGAUGAUUAAGACAAGGCAGAAUGUAAGAUAAGUUAUAAGAAGGUAUAAAAUCUCCAAGGAUCUAAUCCACAGUCUACUUAUUUUUCCCUUUUGUGGUAACACACUUGGGGCACAGAUAAAUCCUUUUUUAUAGUAGUACACAAGAAUGGAAUAUCUUGAUUGCUGCUGCAGGAUUUUGGUUGUUUUGGUCCAUUACAUGCUUCCUGCUAAAUAUUGACUAGCAUUUUACAUUAAUACUCUUUUUGAAAGCAGUUAGUGAAAAUAGUUUUCAGGACGUUAUGUUGAUUGUUUCUCAUUAGACAUUUUGUAGUACUGAGAAGUAGAGGUGGCUUAUUUAGUUCAGUUUUCACUUUUUUCUUUCUCUUUUUUGGGUGCUGAAAACUCUGUUAGUGAGUGAAUUGGAUUGACAUACUGUUGUUGCAUUGUUUGGUUUCCGCGUGGCCAUUAGUUGUACAACAACCCAUCUGCUUUUUUAUCAUUAAUAUGAAAGGAGAGUUUUAAUAGGAUGCUUACAAUUUCAUCGACUGUUUUGAACUUUGAAGCGUUUCCUUCCCGUCACCUUUCUUUGAGCUGUAUUUUAGAAUAUUUUCGAAUAUCUUUUUGGGACAUCUCUCUUGAGGGUUGCGGUUUGGGUUUGAAAUUCAUGGGAUAGUAAGUAAAUAGUAAUGGAUUGUAAAUAAAUCCAUUUAUGAAGAGAGCAUCAUCACUAAUGUGAUUUUUUUGGUUGGUUUGAAAAUUUUAAUCGAUCUGGGAGAAGGCCAAUUUGUUUAAGCGUUAGUGGAUCCUGCUAUGGACCUCUAACGGUCCAACUUUGAUCCCGGGCCUGGCUCUUGAACUGAAUAUCCGUCUGACUGGAUGCCUCUAUUUUUUUUUUUUUUAACUAUUUUAUCAUUUACUUCCAUGCUCAAAAAAAAAAAAAAAAAAAAGGAUUGCUAUGAAGUAUGAAUUAAAAAUAAAUAGGAAAAAAAAUUAGAAAUAUAGUAGAAUUUUAUCCAAAAUAAAUAAACGGACACUCGUUUUUACAUAGUAGUUUCAGGUAAAGCAAAACUUCAAGUAGUUUUUUCUUUAUCUAUAAGCCAUAUAUAUAACAUUGAAAUACUGCUAUCUUCCAGUGGUAGAUUUUGUAUUGCAAUGUAGAUUUUCCUUUUGCGUUUCACGACAAAUGCUUCUAUCUUCUAUUUAUAUUUAUAAUCUCAUUUAACCUGCUAUAUAUACACACGCGUUUGGCCAAAAAAGAAACCUGCUAUUAGUACGAUUCUAACUUAGAAGGCGGGCUAGUGUUUCAAAACAGUUAAAUAUAGGAAACAACCACCAGACCCGCGCCCUUCAAACAAUAAAAAUCAAAUUAAAUGGUUAGUCCAUCUGAUAUGAAAAGCAGAAAUGUAAGUCUUAAAAAUUAAAGCAUCCAAUUCGUCAAAAGACAUUUUCCACAAAUUGGUAUACUCAUUAACCAUACAAUUCUGUUUGGUUGUUUACCUCUACGUAUUCCUUACAAUUGAUUGAAUAAAAGAAAACAAUUUUAUAGACUUCAUAGUUAGAUCGAGAAUCAAAACAAUCCAGUUUAGUUUCCUCUAUUAAUUUCUUUUUCUUUUUCUUUUUAGUGACCCAAUAAAACCAAAGAAAAUUCCAUAGUUGACCAAACAAUUAGGGAGGUGGGCAAGGCAGGGCACAUUCACCGAGUCAUUCAAAGGAAGGAUACAUACAAUACAUGAGAUCUAAUAAAAAGUCUUUGAAAAGGAGGAGAAGCAUAUGAAACAGCAAGGACCUGAGCUGUCAAGCCUUUGAUAUUUUAAAAGGAACAUAGAUUUUCUUGCUUCCUGCUAACUACUAAAGACACAUUCCCUUACUCUCAGAGCCACAUCAUUUGAAACUUUGAAACAAUUGUUGGGUUGGGUUUGUUCAUCUUCUUCUCCUUGUCUUAAUAAUGGAUUUUAAUUUGUAAAUACUAAAGAAGGGGUUUGGUCCCCUUCGAUAACACUAACAGAAUGGACUCAACUUGGUGUCUGUGCAGUCCUUUUCUUGGACAGCAAAACUUUUCCUAAUGCGCCAAUCCAGCCACUGAACCAAUCGUAUCAUUCAUUCUAAAGUUACAUGGAGUUCAAAGGAAAAAACAGUGUUUUUGCAUGCCUUAGAAGUGAAUAUUUUCUUCAAGUUUUCAUUGUCCUUGUCUUGUUGAUAUGAGCUAUGCGCAUAUUCUAGAAUCUCAAAUGACUCUUCCGAACCGCUCCUUAAUCAUAUCAUUUUAUUUGGCCGAAAAAAAAAAAAAAAAAAAAAAAACCUGCUAUGUUUUAGUUCGAUUCCAACUUGGCUUAGAUGGCUUAAUUUCUGUUUUCUUAAACCCAACCAGCUAAGCUGAUAUAUGUCCCAAGAAAACCUACGUAACUAUUCUACUCAACGAAUUUAGUUGGCAACAAGUAAAGAAUUGCAUCGUCUAUUGACGACAUAAUAAUUGGUUUUCAUUUCUUUUGGUUUGAAUAGGACGAAUCGUUGAAUUCAUAAUAUCUGACAUUUGCGUAAUUAAAGAAAAGCCAAUAACACAUUAUUUUUAAUAGUGUAUUUGGUAAUUUUUCUAAUUAUAAUGCAUAAUUUAAAUAGUUAUAAUUGAUCCAUAAUUGUUAAGAGUUCAUUUAUGUUUGGUUUGGUAAUAAUGUAAUUCAACCAACAGUGCAAGUCAGUAAAAGUCUUAUAAGUGAUUUUCCAACUGCUCAAGAUAUGUGGAGAAUCAUGGUUAAAAAAAAAAUUGUAGAAUCAUGAAACUGGGAAAUGGUAUGGUAACUUUUCACUUUUCAAAGGGAAAAAGAUGGGAUAUUCUGUAAAACAUUCAAUUUUUUAAGGAAAAUUCAUAUUCCAAUCACGAGGGAGAGUGGGAAAUGGGAAUCAUCUAGUUGUGUAGAUUUUGAGAAAUUCCCACACGAACUUCCAACUUCGAGCAAUUCUUUCUCUAUUGGCCCGCCAUUUCAAUAAUGUACUAAUAAUAUCUUUUGAAUUCCAGAAAUUAGAUAAGACAAUAUCAAUGAGAGACAACUUGGAAAGCAAUCUCUAGAUAAAAUGACACAGCCGCCCAUAGGAAUCAAUUAUUUAAAUUGUUUUCUCUACUAUCAAAUUUGGCCCUGUAUGCUUUGGGUAACAUCAUCUAUUUCAGGAAUGCACACAGAUUAAAAUUAAAAACCAUCUUACUUCAAGGAUUGCGUAUGCAGAAUGGAAGCCUUGAAGAUGAGAAAUGCUUUAGAUAAAAAUUCCUGGAAAAGUAAAGUAUCAAUUUGGCUGUUACUAAAAGGUAAAAUCUCAACAACUAGAGUAAUAAAAUUGAAUGCCUGGCUGCUCAAAUUUUGCACUAAUAUCUAAAACCAAACCAUAUACAUUCAGUAUUCAUGUUGAUUGAAUUUCACCGUACAAGUUUUCCAUAAGAAUACAAUCCCUACUAAGCACUUUAUAAAUUUCACUGCAUCUCUCUCUUGAGGAGUUGAGCGCAAGAAAUUCCAUAGAUCCUAAAAGAAAUGGAACCAAAUUGUGGAAUAUUUUAUUCAGUUAUUGUAACAGCAGGUUCCAAUUACAAAAAUCAGUAUUCAACUGGUAAGUUUUGAAUCACCUCAUCAUGGAUUUAACAGCAUUUUCAUCAUAUAUAUAUAUAUUAUAUAUAUAUAGCAGCAAAAACAAGAGGGAAAAAGAAAGAAACAAAAAAAUGAUUAACAUCCUAUGAAAUGGACAUUUGCAAUGUCCUGAUCUACAUAUACAUUGAAAAUGAACACCACAUUGACAAUUUAAAGAACCUUGAAAAUGUUGAUCCAUUGAAAUCACCGAAAAACAAGUUACCCCACAAAUAUGCAUGAAUUUGAGGUGCAAGCAGCCUGAAAUUUGAUCCAUUGCCAAUCAUUUCAAUGUAUUAAAUUUUCAUGAACUAAAUGACACAUACAGCCUGAGAACUCAAACUUGAUUGAGAAAACACAUCACCCUGAAAAGAAUUCAGAACUUUCUCCAGCUGAUCGAUUCCUCCUCAAACCAAAAACACCACUCUGGUUUCCAACAUUUCUGCUGACCUCUCCCUUGGAAAACAUAUCUUUUGCUACCAAAUCUAUGACUAGAAGCUCUGCUCCCUGAUCUUGAUCCAGGCCUUUCAACUACAUCAGCCUCCCCCCACACUUCUGACUCCCACUCGAUACCAGUCAUGCCCAUAAGUUCCAUCAAAUCACUCCUGAAGUCCAAAUCUGAAUAGACUCUGCAUGAGUCCCUCAUGUUUUGCCUAACAAAUUUACCAUCCAUGGCGUCCAAAUUCUCCUUGGCAUUUCUAAAUUCAACAGGCCGCCCCAUUGUUUCCACCACCAAACAUGGAUUGUUAAAACCAUUCCAUGAAUGUAGAGGAACCAAUUUGCUCAACCCAGUUAACCAAUCAACCACCUCUUUCAUUGCAGGGCGGCGCUCCCUACAGGACCUCACGCAUUUAGCUGCUAUGACAGCCAACUGCUUCCUAGCAAUAGGAUCCUUAGGAGGUGCAAUCCUUGGAUCAUAAACAGCAAUAAUCUUCCCUUUCUUUACAAAAGGAAUUGCCCAAUCCACAAUAGAAGGUGGUGAAUGUGCAACAUCAAUAGCUUUUCUACCACUUAUAAUCUCUAAUAACAAGAUCCCAAAACUAAAAACAUCAGUUUUUGUACUCAAAUUAUCUGGUGUCACAUAACAUGGAUCAAGAUACCCAAUAGUACCAGCUGGUGGGGUUGAUCUAAGCUUAUAAUCAUCAAUACCACACCUAAGUGCCAACCCAAAAUCACCCAAUCUUGCAUUGAAAUUCCUAUCAAUUAACACAUUUGCAGAUUUAACAUCUCUAUGAAGAAUUGGAGGUUUUUGUGAGUGAAGUGUCUCUAAGGCUUUCGCAACUUGCAAGGCUAAUCGAAUUCUUCGACCCCAAUUCAAAGGCCUUGAAGAAUUAGAAUGAAGAACAUCAUAUAAUGUGCCAUUACUCAUAAAUUCAACAACCAAUAAACGAUCUUGAGUAUCAUUAGUAAAGCCAAGAAGAUUCACCAAUCUGGGACUUUGAAUUUUUGACAAGAUUUCGAUCUCGUUAUCAGCUUCCUUGUUGGUUUCUUCGUUUCUUGAAGAUGGUUUCUUGAUGGCAACGUGGCGUCCCCUGAGAACAGCCUUGUAGACAGCGCCAUGGCUACCUUUGCCUAGAAGCCUUUGGUCAGAGAAUCCAUUGGUGGCUGCUUCAAGGUCACUAUAAUCAAACCGUUGGAUCUUGAUGGGUUUUUCCUGCUUGAUGGUGGAAGUUUUGGAAGAUGAAUUCAGUGUGGUUGUGGAGGUGGAGAUUAUGGAGACCGUUGAUCCUGCUUUGCAAGAAAGGUAACCCAUCAAAAAAGUUCUCUGUUUUUAUCAGGGUCUUGAAGGGUGUUUUUUGAAAUGAGAAAUUUGACAGUUUACAAGAAAUAUGAAUCAAAAAGUCAAGAUUUUUAUCAUUUCAUUGCUCUGCUGCCAGUACGUGAAGAGGAAAAGUUGAAGGAAUGGAAGGGGCUUUUGGGAUUUGGAAAAAAUGAAGUGGCAGUUUUUUUUUUUCAUGUGUUGGAAAGAGGAAAAUUUUCGGGAUCUCAAGGAUUUUUUUUACCCAUUGUUAUAUCUGCCAUGAUUUGUCUAUGCUUUGCAUGUUGACAUUUCUAAUAUUUUAAUGUUAUGUUCAUCGUAUUUUGUAUAAGAUUUAGUCAAUAUUUUAUUUAUGCAGCAUCUUUAAUUUAUUCACUCCCCCACGGGCUCACUAUUACAGCCUUAUUAUGGCUAAUAAAUUCUUCUUUUUUGUCUAUCUGUUCUGUUCUGUUCUUCCUCUUUCACUUUCCUUUUCUCUUUUCAAUGAUUAAAGUGUGUACCUUUAGCUUUAGCAAAAAGAACAGUUACUUACCAUCAAAGCUCUUAUCACCCCUACUGGCUACUACUACAUUAUUAUUAUAUAAACAAAUUGUUUUCUUUUCUUUUGUGGGAAGCCUCUGGCUCUGGCUGGUAAAUCGCUUCAUAAUAUUGGACCAAAAUCGAAACGCCUGGUGUUGAUUUUGAAGUGGACACCAAACCAACUAUAUCUGAAAGGAGCACAUUAACGAAACCUAGCUCGUUGGACCCUGCAUUUGUCACACAACGAGUAAGUGUUUGUUUUUUAAUGAUUAACUGACCGCAUCAAUCUCUAAACUACUAUUAGUAGGGUUUUCAUCAAACUGUAUAUCCAGUUUCAAAACGACCAGAAUACGUUUUGGUUUCUACAAUUGUUAAGAACAAGCUCAUUUGAUUAAAUCUUAGGAGUAAGCAUCAACCUAAUAUUGAUAUUUAACAAAUAUUUACCUAAUAAUAAUGAAAAAAACAACAUUUGUAGGCCACUUGGCACAGAGUUUUCAUGUUACCCGACAAGCCAUACAGGAAACUAGACACAGUCCAAUCAGCAGUCGAACUAAUUAAAUGUUGAAGCUUUAAUGGGGCAUAGGGAAAUAAAUGAGACAGAGCUGAUCUCCUUCCCAAUCUCUAGUUCUUUGCCAGUCUGUGACUUGAAGAAGACAAUGUGGGGCAGAUGACUGGUGCAAGGUAGGUUCCAUCCCAUUAAAAGCUAGGUGAAGGUAAUUUGUUCACCCUUUUUUCUGAAACAUAAACCACAAAUGAUUGAAGAAUUCAAGAGGUACCACUCACAGCCGACCCUAAAAGGAGCCAUCCAAUAUUCCAAAUGGAAAUAUAUAUACACCCACGCCAUGAAUUAUAUUGCUAUUAUAAGUCAUUCAUUUUCAAUGUCAUAGAUCUAAAAUCUUCACCAUGAUUAAUGGAAAUACGAGAUUGGAUCCUUUGGUUAUAUUUGCGGGUUGAAUUAGUUUAGCAUCAUAAGUUAUCAUUUGUGGAAUUCAAAUUUCACAAGAAAGCACCUGUGUGCAAGAUUUGGAUUAUCCAACAACUAACAAAUAUAAGAAAGUUGAUGUUGGCCCAGCGCUGUUUCCCUGCCUAUUCUUGUUGUCGUAAAAAGAAGUUGGAAUACUUAUCGUCUUCGAAUAGUUCUUUACUUGUCCUUGAAUUGCUUGGAGGCUUCCUUUGGAAAAGUUGGUUUGUUUUUUUCCUUCUUUUUUUCUUCUCUUUCCGGCCAAGCACGGAAAGUAGAUUCAACAUUCAUGAUUCAUACCAUGGAAUUUUCCACCUCUCUUUCAAAAGGGGGAAAGGGAUCAAAUUCAAAAAUUUUUUGCUGAAAUUUCGUGGUGUUUCAGACUCAGUAAUAGGGGGUACCUAAACAAGUCGCACAAAGUACAAGUACACUGACCAGAGGCUGUGGCCCUUCAACUGCCGGCAGGUAAUUUCAUUUCUUUCUCUUUCAUGGCCAAAGUCAAGAAGCUAAAAUACACAAGAUAUUCUUAUUCUUAGCAUGCUGAAAAAGAUAUGUGAAUAGCAAUCAAUGAAGCCUCGUCCAUGUUUGCAGGCUUUGCAAUCUUUUCUGCUGAAGUUUUGAUGUUACAUUUACUAUUUUCUUUUUUAAUUUCAUGGAAUGCACAUGCCCUAUAGGCCCAUACCACUAGUUUUUAACAAAAUGGAAUGAAUCUUGAUUCAACUUCUAGAUGAAAAAAAAAAUGAAGUUGAUUGAAAGAGAAUCAACACUCCCCUCUAUGUGAAAGAGAAUCAACACUCCCCUCUAUGUAAUUAAUGAAAGACUUGAUAUAUUGUCGCAUAAAAACCUCGGAAAGGCUUACCCACUUUGAUCUCUUUUGGAGUCUAGUCCUGACAAUCAGAGAAAGUGAAAACUAAACCAAAGAAAACACUUUGGGCCUCCGAUAGUUCUAGCUGGAGUCCACCCGAGCCCAACUUGUAAUGGACCGACAUCUUUAUGGACUCAAAAUUUUACCUACAAGGAAAUGAAGCUCUUCUCCAAUCAGGACAAGGUAAUGCAAGAAAAGAAAUGGAUUACUUAAAUAAUCAUGGUAUUUAUAACAAUUAUUAUUACAUAUUCAAUGAUUUUGUACCAUUAACAAUCAGCUCUUCCUAAUUCUAUAACAUUUUACAAAGCAUAACAACAUAAAUUUAUGACAAAACUUAUGGACAAUGGCUGAUAUUAAGUUAGGAAGUGUUCAAUUGCCACUCAAUUUCUAAGUGACUGCAAUCCAACGAACAUUUAACCCUAUUUAGAGCUUUUUUCCUGUGUUGCAAUAAUGCUAGGGAGCAUUCAUCAACCUCCUUUGUCAAGUCAUUAUUCUUCCUUUUGCGAGGCAGUUCUCUUGAGAAUCUUUUCCAUUUGGAUUCAAACUCACAAGCUAAAAAAUAAGAAAAGAAACAGCAAUAUUAUCAUGUGUUUAACUAUGUUGGAUCAUAGCAGAAAGUCAGGUAAAUCUAAAGACAUAUGUCAUAUUAGCAAGUUUCACAGUAAUAAUUACCAAAUUCUACAAACCUUUACCUCCUUUAGGAGUUCAUUUGUUCGAGUCUUAGUAUAACAAAGCAAAAACAUUCACCUAAUGUUACAUUCAUUGGCAUGAAUUAGAUUACAGCUGAAUUAGAAGUCACAUGAUAUUUGCAAUGAAACACCAAGGGUAGUAAUUAAUAUGCCUAAUGAGGCAAGGCAGGCAACCAAAUAGAACUGUAUCAAGACAAAAUUUAUCCUAGAAAUUUCAAAAGCUGUGAUAUGGCUGUUGCAUUGAGCCGUUCUUACAGGAACACUGGCUGUACAACAAAGACCUUGAUGAUUAAAUGCAGAAUCUUAUAAAAGAUACUAUGAAGACAGCAGUGGAAACGUAAUGAAAAGGAAUUAAAUAUAUGCAUUAAUCUAGAUGAAUUGAUGGCCUCGCAAGACAAAGGUUUGAUGAUAACCUUAAACGAAGAUAACAGACGAGCUAACAGUUAGAAAAGGAUGAAAUUAUCAAGAAGACCAGUUGAACUCAAAGACUUCAGAGCCUUUAUGAAAUGAAAAUUUGCAUUUCAAUUCAUAGAAAUAACUAAUAAGAAUAGUGCAAAUACCUUCACUUUGGUCCCUGAAACCUCGAAUUAGGCAGGCGCAAACCCAUGGCCGUCCAGCACGGGAUGCUUUUGCACCACCCUUUAGUUCACCAUUAUGUUGUUUCAAACUGCAUAUCAAAGCUCAAUAAUCAAUAUUUAGGGGGCUCAGUCUCACUUAUUUUGAACCGUUUUCUUACGAAAAGCGAAGCGAAAUACCCAAAGCAGAGUCAUUUGAAGGAAACAGGUAUUACAACUUGUUGCAACAAUCAUAAACAAAGCUCACAAGUUUUCAAAAGAUUAGCUUACGUAAAGGAAAUUACCCAUUUGCAAGAGAAAUUAAAAAACUAUAUGAAAUAAGCAAUUUCUACAAAUUUAUCAAUAAGACUGUUCAAAAACCAGCAAUCAAAAUUAAACCUAAAUAAAAAUUAGACCCAAAUAAGGAUUUCAGACACAGUUUGAAGAUAAAGCUUAAUAAAAUUGGAAUAUAAGAAAAUGGCUAUCGUACCGGCGAGAAAAAUCGAUGGUGACACCGAUAUAGGUUUUGAUAGGGGCAUUAGUGGAAAGAAUUAGGUAUACGCACCAUGGUUUUAGUUUUGAUUUUGCAAUGGGACUGGAUUCUGACGACAACGACGAUGAUGGUUUUAGGCAAUUAGGGUUUGGAUUUGGGUGUUUCACAGAACGGAAUGUUCUCGUGAGCAGCCUCAUCAUGUGAUCUGACCAGGGGAGUUUUUUAAUUUUGGGAUUAAUAUACAACGGUCCAGUUUUGCCCUUUUUAUUUACGUUACUCUGACUGAGUCAAAAUUCCGUUAAACUUCAAUAGCAUUUUUUUUAUUAAACAAAAAGAGAAAAUUUCAGAUUAUUGCAAAGUUCCGGUCUUUUUAUUGACUAAACCCGUCUUCCAAGUUACAUCCGAACUUCACGUAGUUGAUUCAUUUGUCAAUAGUCCAAAUUACACCGACUGAUUUAUAUAUUUACUCUAAAAUAUUUAAAUUCAUAUAUUUAUAUUAUAUUUUAUAAAAAAAAAACUAUGUAUAAAAAUAUUUAAUUUUUUUUAUUUUAUUAAAUUUAUAUUUCAUAAUUAUUAAAAAUUUAAUUUUUUUUUUUUCAUAUCAUAUUUAUAUUAUAUCAUUAUAUCACAUUUUAAAUUACGAAUAUAAUCAAAACUUAUAAAAAAAUGCCUAAUUCAAAAUCAAUAUCAGUAUUCAGGGCUUGGUUGACGUGCCUGUGAUUCAUUUGGUAUCAAUCAUACAAUUAACCAUGAGAGAAUGUACAGAAAUUUACAUUUAUCUCAUGGAAUUAAAAAAACUAUAUAUAGACAUGUUAUCACUGUUUGGCUUCUAACUUGCCAAAGCGAGAUUUAAAGUAAGAUUCUAUCCGGCUCCAAAGUGAGAAUUUGGAUCCAAAAAAUCGCACUAUCACUGAUUUGUUUGAUCCUUCUCUCAUAAAUUCCAAGUCCUUGGCGAUGCUAUUCUGAACACUUUCCAUUUCCAUAUUAUCACCUCGUAAGGGUAAUGAAACAGCACCCUGAGAUUCCAGGUUCUUGAUCCAUCCACGUAGCAAAUAAUUCACCACCUGUAUAUCCAAUUACAGGAAAUUUGUCUAAAUGCAACAACAUAAAAAGCAUGAGAAAACUAUACUCUGAUUGGAUGAAUUUGUUAAAGUUUUGAGAGAAUGGAAAAUUUAAAAGGAAAAUUGAAAAUUAUGCAGUCAUUUGGUCUUAACAAGUUACUACACAACCAAUUUCUAUGUACAAUCAUAACCAUAUUAUAUUUCAUAUAUCUCUUCUUAAAGAAAAGAAAAGAAAAAACUACCAUGGGAACGUAAUUGGUAACCACUUUUUAACCUAUGGCCAACAAAAUACUAAAAGGUCCUAGCAAAACUAAAAUUCAAAGCUGAAAUUUUAUAUACAAAAAUGAAUGAUUAUCAGGGAUUAGACGUGAAAAGCAAGCCAAUCAGUGACAACAUACCUCAGGAACUUCAUCAUGAGGGCAGUGACCAGCUGGGCUGAUAUCAUAGUAUGGAGCUUCAGGAACUUGCUUUUUCGCCUGAAGACCCCUGACAGGCUUCACCCAGGGGUCUUCUUUUCCAUACAUAAGACAGAUAGGCACAUUGUUCAUAUGACACUUAAAAGAAACAAAAAACAGAAAGUCCAUAACUUGAAGCAGAUAGGUACUUUUCCACAUAGAAUGCACAUGAUUUGGUCAUACAAGUUAAAAACUAUUCAUACUGUGUACCUUGAUAAAGCCUCCCUGAAAGAAAGCUCUCCUUGAGGAGCAAACAUAAUUGAAGCAAAUGAUGCAGCAGCAGCAGGAUGUUGUGUUGUCUUAAGAAUAUGAGAAAAGACUUUGUCUACAUUUAUAGAAUGAUCUACAUAAACCUGUCUAAGUACAUCGGCAAUACUUUCAGGAUCACUUAUUUUUUGCCAACUGAAAUCAAAAGGUGGGAGAAGAAGUUAAGUAAGAGCAAUAAGAGAUUUGAAGUAAAGAGAGUGCGGCAGCUUGCUCCUGGAGUCCUAAAUAAAGAUAUCAAACAAACUCUUUUGAAACUCUAAAAAAUUUUACUCUCAAAGUGAAGAAAACAAUUGCAAAAUCACUUACCUCUUUUCCAAGUAAAAACCUCAACAAGAUAAUUAUUAAUAUGUGAUAUCUAUGGGUUUAAAUGUACAUUUCUAGAAAUUUAAUGGUGAUGGAAUGGCAUUCCAUGAUGAGAAUGCCAUAUCCUCUAAUAUCAAAGCAGAAGGAACUUACACAAAUUCAGUCAGCUUUCUAACACUUUCUGGUAGAGGAAAUGUUCCAGACCAUGAAAAUAUCCUUGCUAGUCUUGGAGAUUUUAUUGGAUUAGGUAAAAAUCCCCAAAAAGGAGUUGCAUUAAGUAGAGUAACGCCCUUCACUAAUUGAGGAUUGCAUGCAGUAAAGUAUAGCGCAACAAAUCCUCCGAGUGAGUUCCCUACAAUGUAAACCGGUUCACCAAUGACCUGUGAGAGAAAGAACUAAGGUCAAUAUUGAUGUCUUUACACUAUAUUAAUGCAUUAAUUUAUCUGAAAACAAAGGGUUAUGUGAUUACUAAUUCAAAAUCCUAAAGCCAUUUUAGCUAUAAUACGAGAUUUCCUUGCUCAACUGGGGUAGCCUUAAGACAAAUUAAGACAACAGUAAGCAAAUGUAGCAUGAAGUCACAUAGACACCACUAUUAUCAUCAAUAUAAAGAAGUAUUAAAGUAUAGAUAAAUAACCUAUGUGUUUAAACAUGUGAGGCAUUGCGAAAGGAAUGGAUUAGAGUUAAAAUGUAAAUCUAUUUGUAUCUCUUCUACAAAAUAGCGAACUUGAUCCCGCCAUAAAUCCAUAGAGUCAACCAGAUCACUUGCCCAUGGCUCAGUUUUAUCCCCAAAUCCCCACACAAAAUUCUUCCCUGCUGUGAUACCCUCCUCCUUAGAAGAGGAAGUGGGAUCUUCAAUAGGCAAUGACAUGCCUUGCCCAAGAAAGUCAAUUGCCCAUACCCUAUUAUCACGACCCAAAUCCUUCAGUUGCUUUUCAUAAUGAAAAGAACCAACACCAAAACCAGGAAGAAAGAGUAGUGGCGGACAAUUCACAUUUUCCCAACCUGAUUUCUCGUAAUGCACAUUAAAUUUAGGUUUCCACUCCCAGAAACAACUGCUUAUUGGAGCACCAGAUUCAACAUUGGACUCAUCAGGCAACACUGGAAUCAAAACCUUGGUUACUGAUUCCCCACUUUCUGACAUACUUUCAACGUCAUCGUCACUACCAAUCACAUAACCAUUAUAAUUCUCAGUGAAGACCUUUGAUUCACCAUCGUUAAACCCUUCAAAAGCCUUGAAGGGCCUUGAACCUUCACCAUAAUGGACAUUCUUCAAAAAAAGGUGAUUUUUAUUAGAUAAUCCCAGUGACGCACUUCUGUAAUGAACCCUAGUACACCAAAGCCUGUGCUUUCUACACAAAAGGAUCUUUACUUGCUGUCUACUUGGGCUUUUGUUUACUAAUGAUCUCUGCUUUAAAUUACAGCAUGGAGGAAAAUUGUAAGAGAUGACUUCUGUGCUUCGAAACUUUGCUCUGUGAUUAUCAAAAACAGCAAAUAUCUCAGCAAAAAGUUGACUUUAUCAUAUGGGUUGAUUACAAAGAGAAAAAAAAAAAGAAACCUUUCUAGAGCCUAGUAGCCACUUGAUUGACCUUUUCAAUCAAAGGAUUAAUGAUAAAUUCUUUCAUCAAGAAGAAACCAUAAUAAUAAUAAUAAUAAUAAUAAUAGUAAACUAAAACUGUAGGAGCUCAAAUUCAAGAAAGAAAUGAAAAUAAAUAGAACCAAAACACAAGCUUUUCAGGGCAGGAUUUCUUCUUAAGAAAAAAAAAAAAAGAACUUUAAACUAAAAAAAAGGUAGAGCAUGUGAACUUAUUAAAUAUAAUAUAUAUAUAUAUAUAUUAUAUAUAUGCUUUAGCAUAGAGUAUGGAAGGAAAUUGAUGAAUCAGCAAUUUGUUUAUUCUUAAAAAUAGAAAAGGAGAGAUUGAGCGAUGUUUUACCUCUAAUUCUUAAAGACAAGUGUCAUUGCUCUUUGCCUUUUUUUUGGUUGGGAGAAGGUGCAGUCUUUUCCUUGAAUUGAGGAGAUUCCAGCACAAUCUAUAGAGAAACAGAGAAAGUCGGUUGCUUCAAAGCUUCUUCUUCCUAUGAAAAGUCAAGAUAUCGAUGAAGUGUCUUUUUUUUUUUUUUCUUCUUUCUGUAUUCUUCUAUUUUGUUUGUGUGCUUAAACAUGUUACUAAAAAAGAAUCAAAAUAUUUUUCCUUCUUUUACUUUUGUUUUUUAAAUUUCCCAUUAUAAAUAAAAGAAUUAAAACAGAGAAUUACCAAUUGUUGUUUCCAUUCAUAAAAAUCUUUUAGGAAAACAAACAAACAAGGGUUUGGGUCGUUGAGGAAAUUGAAGAAAGGGAGAAGCAAGAGCAAUAGAACUAGAUACCUUGUCAAAUGCAGUAAAAAGAAGAUACUAUUGGCCGCAGAGAAAACUAAGCAGAAGAGAUAAUUAUCCAUAUGCAAAUACGACUGACCCAAGUACUACCAUGUUUUCAACAUUGUCCCAACAAUGGUUUGGGAUCCUCUGUCUUGAUGUUCACAAUGAUACGACUGCCACAUUUUCAACAAUAAUAUUUUCAUACGUAUUUUAAUAAUGCUCUUUAAUAAUUUAUUUGUCCGAACUCAUAUACUGUCAAAUGCAAAUACAAAUACAAAUACAAAUACCCCUGUUCCUGCUUGUCGGUUAACACGUUAACCUCUAAAUUUAUUUUAUUUACUUCUUUUUUACUAUAUUAUUAGGUGAAGUUGAAGGAAAAGAAAAAGAAAGAAUUUGAAUAAUAAAUUGACAAAAUCGUUAAUUGAGUUUGAUUUGUUGAAUAUAGUCAUUUGACACUCCACCAAAUCGUAUUUUUGUUUAAAAAAUGAAAAACUACAAUAAUAAAUGGAAAAUUGUCUCUUAGUCAAGAAAAGUAUUCUAAACGACAAAACCGUAAAAUUAAGUGUCACGGCCUCCGAUUUUAAAUUAAAUUUCGUGCGGUCUUAUAUUGAAAAUGGAUUCUGUAUGUGUAAGUUAGUUUAAGAAAUAAAUGUACGGACACAAAAUCAACACCAAAAAAUAAAAUAUGAAAGUUUAAAAACACGAGAAUGCUGGAACCGAGCCCGUGACAUCAGGCCUUGGCUACAACCGCUCAAAAGACCCAAGGACUUGGCUUCCUAUUCACCUAGUAAGCCAUCAAAAUUUGGCAGUGAAAAAGGCUUUUUUUUUCACCAAAAAGGAAAAAAAAAGGUUCGCAAUUGUGCAACAAAUACUUGAACCCAAGUUUUUGAAGGAAUUGAUGCCAGGCAGGAAUCAGAGAAGAGAAACCAGGGGUUGAACAUUACAGAAAACUAUCAAGGUUCUUUCUUCAAAAUAACGUAUAAAACAAAGAAAGAAAGAAAGCAGUGACUGCCUUUAGCAUUAAUGCAAAAGCAGAUUAUGCAGAAAAAAUAACCAUUAGCUAUCUACUAUUGUGCCUACCUUUUAAAUUCUGUCAAGUAACAGGAAUUUUCAUUUAACGAGCAAGAAGAUAAUGGCUAGUGACUAGUGAGUUCUGUCUUUCACGAUCCGAGUAAAAGCAUUAACUGUCAUUUGAUCAAUAAUCAUCUUCCGCUCUUCUAUGAUUGACAAAAGUUUCUGCCGCACUAUUUCCCAGUAUCCCCUGAGUUGGAGCUGAGCUCUUUAACUUCUUUGAUCCAGCUGGGAGAGGAGCAGAUUGCUGCACAACCAAAACCGAGGCUGGUGAUUCCAAAUCCGUUGAUACUAAUGUCUCCCCAAGCGGUCCCAACUCCGGGAAAUCACUCCAGUUUGAUAGCCCUGAUGUCAAUGGAGAUGUUCUGUCAUGUCCUCUUCCUACUACGUACAAUUCGAAAUCAUUGUAAACAGAAGUUAUGGUCGAUAUAAUCUGGUCUCCACUGUUAACUUGUUUCUCGAUGUAAGCUAUGGAUUGGUCGUGCAUUGUCCUGAACCUGAACUCGUUUAAAUAAUCAUCAUCAAGCUGCUUCUGCUUCUCUCUCUCAAACAUGGCUGUGAAAAUCCCUGAUUCAUCAUCUUCUUCAACGUUCUCGGUCAACUCAGAAACGUCUUUUCCUGGAAGAAAUCGCACUACGGUUAGUACUAGACGUGGAGUGCCUGUCAUUCUCCAGGCAUAAGCUAAUGCCUCUCGGUCAUCAGCACCUUCAACGAACAGCAUGGCAAUGCGACAUUCCCGCAUGCCACGGUGUGAUUCUCGGGAAAAGGUUGAAGUUAGGCCACGAUCCACAAGUAAGCCAAUGGAACAGGGUGCAGUUGCCAGCAAAUUUUGAUUCACUUGUUUAUGCUGAAUGUUUUCAUCUGUCCAUCCGCCAAUAGCAUUUGGUUGCUUGUGAAAUGGGAUCAAAAUGAUAUUGGCGAGCUUGUCAAGUGCGAAGUUGCUAACAUCCUCGUGCAUGGUGGCGUAAGGGGACACUGCUGUUAGUGGCUGAACAGUGACGGCAUGGUUGUCGUUCUCGAAGGAUUCAAAGGCAUUGACAAUUUGCUCCGCCUCAGCUUUUUCUCGAGUGGCAUUGUUCCCAGCAUCAGCGGUCUUACUCUUAUCAUGGAAAAUUAUCAUUGCAGAAGCGCGUCCUGCGAGCUCAACCAAAUGGACAGCAAAGACAAUAAUCGGGGAAUUUCUUGUGGCAUUUGAAAUUUGCAAGAGAUUAAUCAAACCGGACAAAUUUCUGGUGGAAUGAACGCAUGCAAGGACUCGAAAUGGUGCAUCUGGGAUACUUUUCUCUAAGCUCCUACGAUUGUAUUGCUUCAAAUGCCUCGCGCUUUUGUGAGUGAAACUGACUACGGGGCCAAUAAUGACCGUCAUAAGUAAUAUAGCAGCAAUAGUCCAAGAAAAAGUUUGUUGGUCAAAACCCUGAAAUAUAUAUUUGUGUAUAUCUUUAAUUACUGCGAGGUAUUGGCUUGCUUAUAUACAUAUAUAUGUACACAUAAUGGUAAAAACUCUAAAAAGCAAAUUAAAACUUGCCUUCAUGUUUCGACCUUCAUUAAGAAUAAUGAGCGCAAGAGCACCUUUGGUGUUCAUCAGGACUCCAAGAGCCAAACUAUCUCGCUUUGGGCACCUGAAGUGGAGGCAGACAAGAAGAGUGCUUACAAUCUUGGCAGAGGAAGCCAGAAGUACAACUAGCAGCACCAUUCCAAAAGAAUAUUCAGCAAAAAUAUAUGCGAAAUUGGUUCUCAAGCCAGUAAGCAAGAAGGUAGGGGGCAGCAGAAUCCCCACCACGUAGUCUUCAAUUUUGUCCAUGAUCGUAGUCCCAAGCUCUCCACCGGGUAUCAUGAGUCCAAGCAUAAAAGCUCCAAAGUUGGAAUGUGCUCCACAUAAUUCUGUGAUAUAUCCACAAAGGAGCACCAGUGAUAAAAUAAAAUAUACGUGCUUAUCCGACGUUGAUGAUUCUUUGCUUGCUGCUGAAAUUUGUUUCACCGUCCAAGAGAUAAAUGGACGCAUCAUAAACCAGAAGAUUGUCAUUCCCACCAUGAUUGUGAUUGCCACGAACAAUUUCUGGCGCCCAUUGAUUAAAGAUAUUGUUCCCACAAGAACAAACCAACAAGAUAGUUCACUAACAACGGCUGCAGUCAAGGCCGUUUUACCAAGAUCCGUGUAAAGGAGCUUGAGGUCUGAAAGUAUUCGAGCUAGGUCAGGAAAACUUGUAACGCUGAGGGCAAUCGACCAGAAAAAAGCACCCAUCUCAGGUGCCCGUUGUGUUUUUUCUUCUUUCAGCACCAGGUGAUGUAAUCCCACUCCUGCAAUGGAGGGCAAAAUAAUACCAGCAAGGGCAACGCUCAAGGCCGUUUUUCCUAUUUUCCGAAUUGGGGUCAAGUCCAUCUCCAGACCCACCAGGAACAUAUAGAAAGUUACGCCGAGGUUCGCCAUUGUCUCCAGAAACAAGCCACCCUCAAAAGGAUUGAUAAUAGGUGAUAUCCAGCCCGUUAUACCCAGGGCGGUUGGCCCUAGCAGAAUGCCAGCCUAUAUACACGAUGAAGAAACAAAAAUUAACAACAAAAUUAAGAACCAAGAAGGGUUGAAAUUCAAUUCUACUACAUAUGCAACAUUGAAUAUACAUACAAGAAUCUCAGAAAGAAAUUGAGGUUGACGAAGAGGUCUGAUGAUCAGCAUCAAAACAUGAGUAAGCGCUAUGAGGACACUUAAUUGCAUCAUAAAGAUAGGCAUCCUUUUCAUCAAGGGGUUCACGGCUUGCCAGUAAUUGUUGGCUAUAGGCUUGGUAUCGUCGUAACAUAUGGUAAAUUCAUUGUUCAUGCCAAAGAAUAUCUUGUACUUUCCUUUGGUCACGAAAUCUGAUGUUUGAGCCAUUUUUGCAUCACCUAAUUCUUCACCUAGCCCAGGGCCUUCACCACUAAUCUUAUAUUGAAUCAAACAAAUAUGAGCAAACGCAUAUGCCUAGACCAAUAUUUUGAAGAACAGAAAUUAAAUUAAUGGGCAUGCAGCCGAUUACUCAGGAAUACAGGUUGUCACUAUAAUGUGUUUGUUUUUUUAUAGAGAAGGUUGCUGAAAUAAGAAAAUGAUUGUAGCUGAUGAAAUUUGAAUUUUAGACUUGCCGAAUAGCACCUAUGUGGUUACAUAAACUAAUUGAACUAAGUUUUAGAUUCUUUGUUAUUAUUUUGUUGAAUUGUUUUCUUGAAAAUGCAUCUUGUUGAGUUGUUAAUUGACUUGAAAUUCAACUAAUUAUCGUAAUCAAUCAACUUGUUAGUGGUUUUCAUCCACUAGAUGCCCUACAAAUUAAUGAUUAAAUCUCAUUCAACUGAUCACUUAAGGAAGCGACUCAAUCUUGUCUAGACGUUUUCAUAAUCUGAUUUGGGUUUGAGAAAAACUGUCCUGCUAAUUUUACGUAUCUGAGUGUCUUAUGUUUAAUUUCUAUAUAUGCUGUUAAUUAUAUAUAGUUAAUUUAAGUUAAUCGGAGUUAAAAAUCAGCAAAUUUAGACUUACUGAAUAAAAUGUAUAUUAUAAUUAAUACAAAACUAGCUAAUGAAUCAUGUUGAUGCGAAUUGGCAUGAAACAGGUCAUUUAGAAACAUUCUGUUUCGAGGGAAGAACUGGAAUUUUUACAAUUCUGAAAAUUGAACACGACUUAGUCGUCAAACAUCACUUUUACAUUGAGAAACAUGGAAAUUUUUUAAUUUUAUUUUAGAUUAUGGGUAGUUAGUUAGGUCCUUGUAAAGUUGUAAUUCAUAAAUCCUAUAUAUACAUACACUGUUGUGAACAAGAAAUAUAUAUUUUAUGGAUUAUUAAUUAAGGAGGAAUCCAGUUACACUAAUCUAAGUAUUAUAUAUAUAUUUUGUCCUUUCAUCAAAAUAAUUGUUAUACCCUCUUUUAACCUUUGGAUCAAAUUGAAAUUUAUAAAACUGACAUUUAGUUAUUUUAAUCCAAUAAUAAAAAAAGAUACAACACUUAUACUUAUUUAAGUGGAUCUUUACUGUAAACUAAUUGACUAAGAUUUGAAUAAAAAUAUUUUGCCACCAUGACUUUUUAAUAGUAAGUAUAUAAUCAUUAGUGUUUCUAAUACACAAUAAAUAAUUACCAAUCAUUACUCUCCGGCAUCAAAGCUUGAAAUUAGGGGCCAAAAUGUCAUACCUAUUUAUAAUAUUGUUGACAGUGUCGUUCGUUAAUAUUUAUUUAUAAACUUUGAUUAUCCAGUUAAUUACUAAUUUAUAUAUAUUUUUUAUUUUAGUAUGGUUUAUUCUUUUUUCUUAUAAUAAUUUGUCUUCUUCCUCUUGCUUAUAUUAAUUUCUUGGUUAACCCCUUCCAAUUAAUAUAGUUAACUACAUGCUUUUUUAUUUUUUUUUAUUUUUGGGUAACAAAAUUCCAUUGAAUUAUAAACAAAAGGGAAAGGCCCUUAUUCUAUAUAUUCUUUUUCUCCUCCUUUUACACCUACUAUUAUCUCCAUAAUAAUAACUGUAAGUAUCAACGAAACAUAGGUUUGGUGGAUUCAUUUUUUUUUUUUUUUUUUUGGAAUAAGUGGAUUCGUUUGUUAAAUCAAAUGAGAUGAUAUCAAGAUCCCUAACAUCAUAAAGUCUUCAAAUUAAUGAAAUAUUUAGACAGCAAUCCUUUCAAGUUCUACUGUGCAUAAAGUAAUGAAAUAUUUUGAAGUCAAUGAAUUUACUUAAAAGGAAUUGAGCUCACUGUUAUUUUUUAUUUCUUUUUUUUUUUAUGCAAAAAUGAAUACCAAAUCAUAUGAUCAAUCAAUCAUAUAAAUCCGAAUAUAUAUUAAUUCUAAAUAUAUGAUUUUACCCAACGAGAAAAGAUGUAUGAUAUGAUCGUAUUAAUCAAUCAUUUUUGCAUAAUGAUUUUUUUAUAAAGUCAGCAUGCAGAUUUUCCAAAAAAGGAGUCUCUAUGCGGCAAAUUGCUAGCAAAGGCGAAGUCGUUUUUGGAUGCUAGUGUCCAUAUAACCAAACCUUCGAAAAGAGGUCUUUAAAUGAGAAGAUAAGCAAUGGCAUCUUUUUUACCAUAGGAAGGGUCUUUCGAAGCGCAGUUUAGGCCAUUGUUGCGAGACAGUUUUGAGUCAGACAACGCUUUUAGUUGUACACCAAUAAAGACUUUAAAUGUUCAUAUACCUGCCAACAAUAAUGUGAUAUGUUGAUACAAGUGUAAGAUUUUUAAUUUUAGUGAUCAAAAUUUAGAUUUAAAUCUGAUCUAUCUGUAAAUAUAAAAAGAAAAAAGUGUUCGUAAACCCUCAUCAUUCAUUGUUUUGACAUGUAAGGGACAGGCUUUUUGAUUGCAAGAAUACGGUUUUUGUUCCUCUAAAACUGGGUCCUGAAUGCAUGCGGUACUGGAACAGUUGGAGAGGUUAGAAUAGUGGGUAUCGCCCAAUUGCUAUUGCACACCUACUUGCAAAUUGUGAGAUUAGCUGUUGCUGCCUGCCCUAAUUCGCAAACAGGAAGGGAUCCCUCCUCUGCCCCUUUUAGUCAAAUUAUGCCACCAAAAUUGCUUCACAGGGAAUCAUCACUUGUACCGUAUGUCGUUGAAGAAAAAGCAUAUUGAGAAAGUAAGAUCCUCAUUUUUUUUUUCUAUAAUUAAUUUAAAACACGGAAACACCGAGCAGACAAGGCAGAUUUACUCGUCAAGAGAGACCAGAUGAAGGAUUACCAAAUCAUUAAUUAGGGACUAAUAACAAGUUAUUAUGAACUCACCAUUCAAACUUGCCAAAUUCAGAGUAUAAUAACCUUUGCUCUGGCUUUUUUUUUUUUUUUUCUUUUAUAAAAAACUAGUGGACUUAAAAAGAGUAUAAGAUUUAUGAUAAGAUUUUUAACCUAGUGCACCCAGAGCAAAAGCACCAUACGUUUGAAUUAUGAAUAUCACCAAAUAUAAUUGACUCUUUAGGCUACUUAAUCUCAUUUCUUAAUUAAAAUGAUUACUAUAUUGACCAUCAUUUUCUUUUUCUUAUUUCUCAUACAUUCAAAUUGAAUUAAGGAAAAAAGUAAAAGAUUUAUCUACUAGUUUCUCAAAAAGCACUCAUUUUUAAGAACAAGUAGCGGAGAAGCGUAUGGUAGCACAAAAGGAAUCUACAGUGUUUACAUUUAUUUGUUGACUGUAUGAAUAAAUAAGAUAACACUUAACAUUCAAGCAUAAUUGUUUCUUAUUAUGAAUGUAAAUAAUAUACCAUUACAUGAUUAUAUACAAAUAAGAUGUCAAUCCUACACAUACUUAAUGUAAAAUCUGAUUUUUUAUCUAAAUGAGAUAAGGAUAAGUAUUAUAUUAUAAGUAUGAGGAUAGAUAAAAUUUUAAAUUUUUAUUAAAUAUAAGGAUGAGGAUGCGUAAAAUAAUAUUCACCCUAUACUCAUAUCCUAUAUAUAUUUAAUAUAUAAAAUUUUUAUUAAAUAAUAUAAAUUAUUAUUAUAAAUUAAUUAAAUUAAUAUAUUUUUAUUGAAAAAUUAUAUUUAUAAAAAUUACUUAAAUAUAUAAGAUAAACUUAAAAAAUUAAAAAAAUAAAUUUUAGUUUUUUUUCUUAAAAAUUAGGAGUAUAAAAAUUAUGCAUAUCUAUUAAAUACUUAUAGAAAUAAUAUAAAAAUAUAUUUAAAAUACCUAUUAAAUAUGAAUAUGAGAUAAAUAUAAUAUAAAAAUUAAAAAAUAGAGACAAAAAAUACUCUACCUUCUUUGUACUCUACCAUUAACGUCCCUGUAUACAAAAGUGGAUUUUCCUUUUUACAUCCAACAACAGGAAAUAAUCAAUGAUGACAACCAAAAGAAGUUCGGACAAAUUUAUGUCCGAUUGUAAGCAAUAGAUUUUUACCAUACUAACUAUUAUCCUGUCGUUUAGGGCAGAUGAGGCGAGAUAAGAACCGCAUUGAAUUAAAUUUCUACGUAGCGCCCACAGUUGCAAUGGUGAGUGAGAGAAGAACUUAAGGGGACAUUAAAUGGAAGAUGAUGAACCAUAAUUAGCGCCCACAGGUAGUAAUGUUUGCGUCAACAAGGAGCAUGAUUUGGCAACAUAGAUUUAGAGAAAAAUUUUUAAGCGAAAUUCACAAAAAUUUUAAUUAAAAAUAAUUAAAUUAAAAUUAAAAAUUUUCAUUAUAUAAAUCAAGUAUGUAAAAUUUUUUUUAAAAAAUUUAUAUAUUUUUAAUAAAAAUAUUAACAAAAUUUUUAUCAUUAAAUAAUAAUUACACAAAUUUAAAUUAUAAAUAAUUUUUUAAAUAAUUUUUUUUAUAUAUUAUUAAUUUUCACAUUAAACUCUAUUAAUAUAUUAAUUUAAAUUUUUUAUUAAAUUUUUAUUAAAUUAUUUUUAAAAAAACUUUAUUAACUUCAUCUAAAAAAUUUUAUAUAAAUUUUCUCCUGAUUGCCUAAACCUAAACUAAAACACACACCACCAUGAAACCGAAGGCGAAAUCCUACGAGGCCAGGUUGAAAGCCCAAUUUUAAAGCCAGGUCCCACGUACAGGGCAAUGAAAAAAAAAAAACAAGGUAGCACGCCACCAAAAACUUACCCCCACUCUUUUCUUCAGCGCGUGCAGGGCUUUAGAACCUGCAAAGCAGGCGUGCGACUGUGAGUUGCCUGCUGUGAUGGAUCAUGCCCACAUGAGAGGACACCAAACUCUGUCCCCUCCUAACUGGCGCAACACCAUGACACGCGCCUCCAACUAAGAUAGGGCCAACACUUUUUUCUUUUUCACAGUGGAUGAAGUGCUUGUAUAUUUCCACUUGAAGAAACAAAGAAUCGAAAGAAAACCAAAUAAAGCAAGGAAGGCACAAGGUUAAAAUUCAAAAUAAGGCUAAAAAGGAAAAAAAAUCUGCUAAAUUUUGGAUGAGCUAAUGCUUAAGUUCCACCCAAUACACUAAUAGUGGAAAAGUCAGACUCAGACAGAAGGUUUCCUCAAUAUACUAAGGAGACUAAGUAAAUUAUAUUAUUUAAUUUUCAGGUAACUGUUAAUUUGCAGUUUUAAGAAGAUGUAGUGAGACAAAGCUUGGCUGUCCUUUAUUUAUUUAUUUGGAAACAAGAACGUUACCAUACCAUAAUUCCAACAGCAAAAGUAAAUGCCCCCUCUUGCACAUAAUACUAAAUACAAUCACCUCCCUCUCUCUCUUCUUUCUUACAUGAAAACUCAAACCCAACAUCAUCAACCACUGUCUUUCUCUCUCCUCUGUUUUUCUAACACUGAGAAGAAGACAAAGCUCCCCCUUUGAUUUCUUCACCAGAUCUCUUCGUUUUACAGAAACACCCACUAAUGCCCCCAUCGAAAUACACCCUCACAAACAUUCAAACUAUAACUAGUUAACUACAUGCUUUUUAUAGUUUUAUCUAUAUCUACACUAAAAAUUCACAAGCACAGAAUAGAAGAAAAGCAAAGUUUUUUUUUUUUUUUUGGAAAAAUAAGCAAAAUUUCGUAAGUAAAUGAGGUGUGAGAAACAUCUUACCGACCUGAGUAGCAGCGUCGGCGUCUGCGCCACUUGUCUCCGAGAGCGGCUUCUAGCGCUGGUCGCCGUCCAGGCUCAGGCAGAGGCACAAGUCCAACAGGCUCAAUUAGCUCGGGCUGCAGCUGCUGCAACCGCUGCUGAGGAUCGUCGGAAACCUGACACGCCUCCCCUGGUUUUCCCUCGGUCUGUUUCUCCUUACGUUAGUCGACGGAAAUCUGACGACAACAGUGUCUCGUGGAUCCACAAACAGCGAUUUUACAGCACUCCUCAGGUGGGCCCCAACUACAGUACCACAACCACCACCGACUUUGAAGCCGUCAGAACUUUCAAAAAGAAAAACAGGUUCUCGCUUUUUUUGAAUCUGUUCAGGUCGAGAUCCGAGAAAUUCAAUUCUGAUACUAAGGUUCAUUAUCAUCGGGAUUCGUGCGAUGAGCCAUCCUCGUCAUCGUCGUCCCCGUCUUGGUUCUCGACAAUCUUUGCUGUUCGUCGAAAAAAGCAGCAAUCUUCGAGGACAUCUCAUGUAGAAGAAUUUGGCCAGUUCGGCCCUAGCGAUCGGAGAUCAUGCUCGAUCAUAGAUCGGGGAAUGUCGCCCACGAUUGAAGUGGAUUUGGGAGACGAGUGUGAUCGAUUGCCAUCUAGAAGCUCCCUGCAGGUUUCCCCGCAGUGGAAGAGGACACCGACGGUGGCGAGGAGAGUGAGGGCCGGGCCGAGGAACGUGCCGGGAUUAACGUUUUGCUUAAGCCCGCUCGUGAGGGGCCACUGGACUCAGAAGGGCGGAUUGCAGUCUGACAUAUCGUUUACAGGCGAAGGUAGGCCGUCGAUGAAGCCCCACCUGGCCACCGCGGCGGGGUUUUGCGCAAAUAGGUCCAGGAAGCUUGCUGAUUUUGGCAGAGUCAAUCAUAACCGUUGACAUUUGACCACAGUGAUUGCGAACGUACUGCAAGUAUUAUUUAUCAAACUGCGGUUUUGCCAUUGCUUUUCUACAGUUUUUACUCUCUGUGAUUCGUAAAUUACUAUUGGUUUUUUUGUAAAAUGAGAGAAAAAAAGAAAAGAAAAUUUUGUUGUUACUUGUAAACGUAUGCUUACUACUAGUAUUAAAAAAAAAAGAUUAAUUUUUGUUACUGUACAAUUAUCACCUGAUUAUCCAUGGAGUGAGGCGUUUAUUUCAAUUUUUUUGUCAUUGAUUUUCUGUUUCAUUAUUUAUAUUUUUUAUCUUAUUUAUUUCACAACAAUUUGUAAAAGGUGAUAAAUUAAUUUAAUCCACUAUUAAACUCAUCCAUUGUCGUUUAUAGCAUCUAACUAUAAUGAUUCUAAAGUUUUAGGGUUUCCCUAAGGUGAUGGGGUUUUUUUUCUUAAUGUGAGUCAAAUGGAACUGGCUAUCAUUACAAUGAAAAACACGAUCAGAGGAGGUGAUGGGGCCACGUGGACAAAAUCAAUGAGUUGACAUAAAGCCUAAUUAAGAAGAAAUAUUGGAGUGGCCUAUGGGUUUUUAUCCUAAUGGCGGAGACUCGAAAACUGAAAAAGGAGAGAGGCUGGGUGAGACAGUGAGAGCGUUUGACAUAUGACGGAGCAAACGCGAGUUGUCAGUCCGUGGCGCCGGCGCAUCAUCACUUUUGGCUUUGCGUUUACGCCUCGCUGUGGUGGGUCACAAAAGAAGGUCUUAUUUUGGGACAAUUAGUGGGGCCCUUAGGUCCAAUCAUAUCCGUCCACGUAGUCUCUUUAACGGUCAGACAGAGUGGGUCAAAUGUGAUCUACGAAAAAGGGCUGCUCUCAAUCUGCGCAUCUCUGCUUUGGUGUUUGGUCCCCCCGCCCCCCACGUUGGAUUACCCUUCACAUUGCCAUUUUAUUUGAUUUAAAGCCAAGCAUGAUCUUUCAAACAAACAGUUUUUCUUCAUCUUUCUUUUUCAUUUUUUGUUGUCCCUCCAAACUGUGUUGGACUGAAUUCAAAACAUGAGCCGCAUGUGGCGGUUUGUCUAAUUGCACUGAGCAAAAUAUCAGACAGGGAAUUGGAGAAGAAAGACUAACGAGUUAUUAAUUUUUAUGGUUGAAAUUUCUAACCAAACAGAGAAUAUCAAUGUGUUAUUAAUAUUAUUAUCAAACUUUUUUCCACGUGCUAUUGAAUACUGGAGCUCUAGAAAUUUUCAUCCAAAUUAAUGGCAAGCAGAAAUAAUAAUUAAUUAAACAUCUGACUUUUAUCUAUCUAAUUUUUUUUUCUUUCACCAAAAAUCUAUUUUUCUUUGCUAUUUUAUUAUUGCAGUCACAUGAGCAUAUUAAGAAUCGAAUUCCUCAUGGGGGAUUGAUAUUUGAGGCACAUUAAACCCAAUUAUAAAUGCAUGGUUGUAACUUCUGCUUUGCUUCAAUCCCUAAAAUCAUACCAAAAUCCAACCUCAAAUCCCAUUUUUUUUCUUUAGAAAACUUCCAUAUCCAAUGAUAAUUUCACUGUUUCAGCAAUUAGAAUAAUUAACAAUAUAAAAAUAACAUCCUUACUCCAUGAUUGGUGGUUGAACUUAUCAUGGAGACAGUGAUGGAGCAAAGCAUAUUUUAUUUAAGCAAUAUCCUUCUUUGUUUUUGCAUUGGGGCUCCAAACACCCAAAGAAAAAAACAAAACAAGGGAGGCUGGUUCAGUUAAGAAGAAAGUACGGCUAGCGUAGCUUGCAAAAAAUUUACUAGAAUACAAAAUCUCUUCCUUUUUUGUCAGAUGCUUCCAACAGGUCUCCCUCAAUUUAACUGAAGAAAAAGCUUGAAUUCGUUAAUCUGAGGGCUUUAUGCAUGGUCCCUGCAGCCAGGUGGCCAGGUCCAGCCUGUUGCGGUAGGUUGAUCUCAACUGUAUUGCUUCAUAUCAGUAGACAAUGAUUUUCCUCUUUCCUUCAUUUAAUUCAAACUGUUCGUACAUAAUUUAUUUUAGAUAAUAAAACCAUUGGUUGAAACCCAUCGGUUGAAACCCAUCGUAGUCCGGCUAGCUUUAUAGUAUUAGUACGCAAAAUCUAAUACAACAUCCUCUUUGUUACUCUUAAAACAAUUGAUCAAUAAUCAACUUAAUUAAGACUUGAUCAAUAUAAUCAUAUUUUUGGAUCGUUCAAAUAAAACAUGUUUAAACGUCACGUCAUUUAAAAACACCAUUAACAUUCUUAAAAAUAUUUGUGAACAUAUUUAUCAUUAGCAAGAAUGAACCGUAAACAAAAGAACAAAAAAGUAUAAUACCCAUCUGUAAAAAUUAAGUUUCAAGGAAAUAUAUAACAAAUUUCAAUAAUGUCUUUAGUGAAAGAUAUUUUAUUUUAAAUCCAUCAACAUUAAUCUUUGGUUGAAUAUAAAGGGUGGGUAGAGAGGGUUUAAGAGUGUGGGACAUGAAAAUCUUAACGACAUGAUAGCAAAAAAAAUUGUUUAGAUUUGAAGCAAGCAUUUAGGACAAAUGCCUUCACUAACAAACUUUUACUAAACUUGAGACAUUUCGGGUUGUGUUUGCCAUUGUUGGAGGUUAGGUCUGUCAUGUUGGUAUCAUGCUUAACAUGAUGCCAUGCUAUAAGAUUAGUAAAAUGAAGUUUUGCACACUGUCCUCUGCAUUUGAUUGGAGGGCAAAACUAUUUGUUUAAUAAUUAGGUGAAUCCUGGGGAACCCACAUAUUUUGGUCAAUUGAAGCAGCACAUUAUUAGUAUAAUUAUAAGAAUGGUUGUUGAUUGGAUUCAAGUACCUAAUAUAUAUUGCUGAAAGAAAGAAAUAUGAACAGCGUGAUGCAAUGAGUGAAAAGUAUAUAUUCAGUUGAUUAAGAAGGAGAUCUUGAGUUCAAAUUAGAUUAAUAGACAAUCUAAUAUUUUGUUCUGACCCAACAAAUCGUUUUGGGUGUUUGCAAUUGGAAGACAAAGAUAGAAUGUUACUUUAAAUCAAAAGAAGUUGUCCAGCAAGUAGUCUAGUCUGGUGUCGUGUUUGUUUGGCAAUAUGCAACUAGAAGCACCUGCUUCGGAGGCAGUUUCCCUAUCUGCUUUUCUUGUGUUUGUCUUUUUUGUUUUUCCCCCUUGGCAGUCAAUUAUGAGUUUUGGACUUGCGGUGGGUUAAAACAGUUAACCGUUACUGUUAUUAAAAAUUAAAUCGUGUCAUCUUUGUAUCAAUUUUUCAUAUAGUAUCGUUACUGUAUCAUGUUUUACAUUGCAAGGUUGAAAUGGAAGGCGUGGUGUUGAGAUUUCCAAGGGACAUUUCCCUUCAUACACAUUCAUUGAAAUUUGCAUGGCUAUCAAAAGAAGUAGAUUUUGUUGUUCAAUUGGCUUCCUGCAGAAAUUCAUUCUCCUCACUAAACAAGUCAAUUUUGUUGUUUCUGCACAACUCUACUCACUAAACAAGUCAAUUUAAAUGAAAGCCUCCUCUACCUUAGUAACAAUAGGCAUCCUAUAAUUCUGCAAAUCAAAGCAAUGGUUUGGUACAUUUAAUUUUCCUAUGCCACAGAAGACCGCAUUCAAAUCUGAAAUGGCUUCUGAAAUGUGUCUCAAUUUGGAUAAAUCUCAAAGCUUUAGCGAAGGCUAAUAACUGCGUUUGAGAUGAAAGGAGAAAAAGAGACUGAAUGGUAUAAUUGCAGUAAAAAAAAUGAUAAAAGACUAUCCAUGAUAGUCAGUUCUAUGCAUAAAAAUCAUUAGCAUGAAGAAUAAUCAUGGCUUUCCUGAACAUCGGUAUGUGACCUCCUUGCCUUCUUAUCAUCUAUAUAAUUUUGAUAAAUAUAAGAGGCAAAACCACAGAGAGCCAGGAGCAUAGCAAUUACCUUCACACCAUUCAUCUUGUCAUGAAAAACUACCAGAGCAGCUAGAGGAGUAACAGCCAAAGAUAGAGUACUGAUUACGUUGGAGAAGAGAGAAGACACAACAAAAAUCAAGCCCACAACACCAACAGCACACACUUGCCAAGUUACAGCAGUCCAAACCAAAGUCAGCACAUAAGAAACUCUCCCAUUGUUGAAGCCCUCCAUCUCAUGGUGCAAACUCUUCCAUUCCCCACUUGCAAAGAGACCCACAGCCGAAACACAACUGGCAACAAUUGAUGUAUAUAUUUGCAUUUCCAAAACCACAUAAAAAGUUUCCUUUUUCAAAACCUUCUGAAAAGAAAGUUGCAUAAGGGAGAGCAAAAGAGAGUAAAGAGCAGAAGCUCCAAGGGUGCAGAGGAAGCCAAGGAGAAACUUCCCCGUAGAAACUCCUGAUGGUCCUUCUGAACCAUCAUUGACUGCAAUGAGAGCAGCAGACAAUGAGAGGAUGACCACAGAGUUCAGAAUUAGAGCAGUGAACUUCUGCGAAUUAAAGAAGUAAGAAAAAACUGCAUUGAAAGCUAAUUGGGUGGCACAAAUAAGGGAGUAAGUAGAGGCUGAGAGGUACAAGAGCCCAACAGAAUACAACAUAUUGUCCCCAGCUACAAGUACUCCAAGAACAAAAUAGAGCAAAGCAAGAGUUUUGAUGGAAGGUGACGUGGAAGAUGUUGAAGCGUCCUGAGAGGGAUGAAGAAGAAACAAAGGGAUGAAAAGGAUUGGGAAGCCAGCAGUUUGCACAAGAGUUGCCAUCCAUUUACUAUUUCCACCCUGAUCAUAAUAAAAUCUCCCCAGAAGAACUGCAGCAGCCUGGCCAGCAAUGAGGAAGAAAAUGUUGAUUGCCACCAAAAGCCACCAUUGCCAGCUCUUGAGUCUAAGAAAUGGUGAAUGACUCACUAAAUUUUUGUCAUUGUUGAGAAUAGGUUCUAGAUUAUCUGUAAUCAAAUGUAACUGAAAGUGUAAACGGUUUUAUCUAAUCAUUCAUAAUUAAAAACUAUCUAUCUUAAAAAUUAAUGAAACAUAUCAACUUUCUAACAUCAAAAGGACUAAUGUUUAUUUAAGAAGUUGUUACUUUUGUCAACAAAAGGAAAUGAAACAGAUUCACCCAAGUCCUAGCACUACAAACUUCACAUUUAUCGCAUACUUCCAGCCCAAUUAUUGAGUUCCAUGAAGGCAGAAAUGAGAGGUUAAAUUGUAUUUGUCUAUAAAGUUACCUGUGUACCUUUAUUUAAAAUGCUUCUUAUAGAAAGCAUACAUGAAACUUUAGGACUAUUUGAAGAGCAUAGAAACAAAAUGCAAGACUAUCCAAAGAAAAACAAAAGAACAAUAUGCAAGAAUCUCCUGGAUUAUAUUACCAAACUCCAAUAGGAUCCUGGAAAAUACAAGCAGACAUAAAACUAAAACCAAAUAAUAUGUAUUUCCAAAGAGAAACCGUCUAUCAAAUAAGUCCUCAAUCGACCACAAUAAACCAGUUGGGAAAAGAGAAAAACUUAUUUGCUAGGCAAUAUACACCAAUGUUUGGCUAAAACCAAGUGGAUGUUUACAAAAACAAGCUAAAACAGACAAUAUUUCAUCUUUGCUUUAGUUGCCAUAUUCCAAAUUGAAUCAAGCAAAAACCUAAUUGGUAGAGAAUCAUAUCAUCACAAAUCACCGUAGCAAGCCCAGUAAUACAUGCAUGCAGUCUAUACAUGAAAACUUGAACGGAUCAUUCAAGAUUUAUCAGUCUUCUUCUUUGCUUAUUUAAGAAAUAGAACCCCCCACACCCCCCCCCCCCAAAAAAAAAAAAAGAUCAUUAAAGAAUACUAUCAACCUCAGAGUCCUGAAAACAAAUUCUAACCAUUCAAUUUCGAUUCUGAUGAGAACGCAGAGAAGUAUUGGCGUAACAAAGCAGGAAAAAAAAGAGAAAGAAAGGACCUUACCGGUCAUGCUGCGAAUGCUGGACCGCUGAAUCAAAGCAAGAUGGCGCAGUGAGACUCUGCGUAACAGAAUAAACAAAAGAAGGAAUGAAAACGAAAGAAGAUCCUUUCUUUUUAAUCAAUUCUCUUUGGGAAGUGACGAGUUACUUAUAGUAAAUUGACAACCCCCGCUGCCACUAGUAAUUUUAUUGGCGGAUCGGAAAGAGAAAGUCAAGUUUUAUGGUUGCAGCUUUUGUUGGAAGGCGGAAGUCUAGCUGUAUCGAUGUAUUCGCACGUGCACGGGUUCGAAUAGCUAGUAACAACUGAAACCCGUGAUGCGAGGGGAAAUUUUUAUAAAAAAAUUAUUUUCUUUUUCACAAAGGACACGACAAAAAAGUACUUUGACGGUGAUUCAUGAAUCUUUCCUUUGGUUACUAUUACAAAUUUCAUACGCAGAUGCUGUUACUUGUAAAAAAGCUAUGUUUACUUUUUGUUUUUCACAAAAUUUAAAAGAAAAAUCAAAUAAAAAGAAUCACCGGUGAUAGUAAAAAGCCAACAAUAGUUUCCUUCUAAGUUCUGGCAGAGGCAGAAUGCAGCAAAACUUGUUUUUAAGGAAAUGUAUGACGAAUGUCGUAAGAGCACCCAUUGGCAAUUGCAGUAAACUAAUGGUGCUUUGAUGUCAUUGUGAUAAAAAGAAAACAACCACUGGAUGCAUAAGCCAUUUUAUUUGCCAAAAUUAAAAGGUUGGUGUCACUUUCUCAACCAAAACAUAGGGGUAAUACUACUAUGGUACUAGUUGUUUACAGCUUACAGUUUGGUCAACAAUAGCAAAAGGAUCAUCAAACAGAGCCCAAUAAACAAAGAAUAAUACCCCUGAUGCCAAGGAAACCAGUAUGGAGAAACCUGAAAACGGUAUCAAAGAGACCCAUUAACAAGGGAAAACGGGUCAGUGCAUCAACCAACACCCAUUGACAAGGAAAUUUGCUAAUCUGAAGCUAAUACUUUUACAUAGUUAAAGAGCAAAUUCACUGUUUAUUAAAAAAAAAAAAACCCUUUCAGAAACAAAAUCAAACUGAAUAUGACUAACAGUAAAUUUGGCACAAUUGUUUGAGAUCACAAGAACGCUACACAUAUAGGACAGGUUAGGACUAGCCUACUUACCAUAAGAAAUGUCCUCUCUCAAGUUAUAUGCUUAAACAUCCAGCUAAACCCAAAAGCCCGAUGCUACAAAAAAAAAAAGGGAGGACAGAUUUUUUACAAACACUUUGCAGCAUUACUGAUGCACAAAAUAAAUUCUGAAAAUCGGAGCUCAGAUCAAUGAAGGGCGUAUCAGCAGGCACAUCCUCCAGACUGUUGCUGCAACUGAGAAGCAUUUGUGUUGGUAGACUUAAGAUUGACAUCAACCAUGUCUUCUUGCUUGGUUGAAGAAAGUGUUUCCAUUCCAGGUAAAGCAGCUGCAAUCUUCCGAAACAAAGCCUGUUGGAGAUUAAACAGAGAACUCAGCAGAUUGCUCAAGAACGCUAGUGGAGGAACAUGGAGAACACUGAUAGAACAGAAAUAACAUCAGCCAAUGAUGCCAUAACUAUCAUGCAGGAUUGAAGAUACAUAUUAAACAAAUUUUUAACAAAUGUUGCAUCCAUUAAAUAUGAUGGAGUUGAUGCAAAAGUGAGAAAUUAAAAAAUGAUAAAACUUUCAGUUAUUAGAUGAUUGGUCUAACUCAAAAUUAUUGUGCCAAUACAAAAAGGAAGCCAAUAGUAUUUGACAUGGAUACAGACUAUUCACAGCACGUAGCAUGCAAUCGACAUGAUAUUUCUAUGAAUAUUCAUGGUAGAUUACCAAUGUUUUACCUUGAUAUUGAAGCCAGCCUUGGCACUAGUUUCAAUAAACAUAACAUUGAGAUCACGAGCCUUGGCUUCUCCUUCCUCUAUUGACACUUGCCUGUCAAAUCAGAAACUUUGUGUCAAUAAGUUCACUUCUUCAAGUAAUGACCACAAACUAAUGCCAAGGCAAUUGUAAUUAGAAAGGAAGGCAAUCUACCUUCUUCAUGGGAAAGUUCAAUCAUGAUAAAAAAUUAGUAUUACCUUUUGUCCACAAGAUCCGUUUUGUUACCAACAAGCACAACGAUAACAUCACUACCCCGUUCAGUCCGCACCUCCUCAAUCCACUUUGAAGUAUUAAGGAAGGACUGUCUGCCUACAACAUCAAAAUUAAAGUUGGUAAACUUCAUCUACUUUUAUUAAGCAAAUGAACAAUCAACAAAGUAGGACAAUGAAUUUGUGAGAUUGCAUUUCAUAUAUUGCCAAUGCAUUGCCCAAGCAAACAAGCAUAAAACAUAAUAACCGAACAAGCAAAUAUAUGUCUGGCCAAUAAACAAGCAAACAUACGAGAUAGGAAGAUCACAAAGCAUGGGAACAAAGUGAAACAACAACAUACUUGCAACAUCAUAGACAAUGACUGCCACGGAGGAAUCCCUAAUGUAACUUGGAAUAAGACUCCUGAAUCUUUCCUGUCCAGCAGUAUCCCUGAAUACAGAUUAAGCAGAUAAAGAUCAAUGAUGCCAAUCUUGUCAAACAUUUUUGAUAAAAAUUAUCACAUGCUUAUCAAUGAAUAAAAACAACAAACAUUCGAGAGGAAGAGUUUCAUCAUUAUACCCUCUACUCAAUCCUUGGUAAUGAUGUUACUGAUUAUAUCAUUUACUGACAGCUAUAGGGAUUAUUGAAAUCUAUAAAAUCCAGCAGGAGAUUAUCUAAGUAACCAAUGAAUCCAAAAUUUCCAAUCAACAUCUGUGACGCCCAAACUUGUGGAUAUAGUAUGAUAUAUAUGUAGAGAUCUGAACCUAAAUCUGUGAGACGUCUUUUGUAGGACAAAAUCAUGAUAUUUUCAGGUCAAAAUAGACAAUACAUCGCAAGUUGGGUGCAAGUAUCCACAACAUCUAAACACCAAAGCACCGUCCAUGAGACAAUCCAAAAUUCAGGAAUACUAGCAAUAUAGUUCCAUGCUGAAUAUGAGUACAGCCAAAAAGGAAUUCUGUAACAAGGCAUCACACCAACUACAUAUCAAAGCAAGGCUCGGAAGAGAACUCUAAACAUACACGGAAAAAAACCCAGAAUCUGAAUUAGGUAUAAAAUAGCAAGCUAAGCUAGAUAAGCCCAUAAAAGUCCACAAUGAAGUAGCUUAAAACAAAAAAUGACAAGUAAUGCCUUACCAAAGCUGCAAUCGAACUGUUCGAUCUUCGAGGUACAUUGUUUUUGAUAGAAAGUCAAUACCGAUGGUAGCCUGGUAAACAAAUUAGAGACACAGAUAACCUUAGAACUGGCGGGGUGAGGAUCUAAAAGAAGCAAGGAACCUAGGCAAACUAUGGGAAAUCAGAGUCAUAACCAAAUAACAUAAAUGAUAGCAUAAAGAUUCAAAGAAAGAAGGAAUUAGAUCCAAAAGUGGAUGGUAAAAUUGACAUAAAAGAGCAUUGAAUAGUAUAACAAUAAAACAAAUACCUGGUAGGUGUUAUCGAAUUUAUCGUACAUGAAGCGAGUGAUGAUACUGGUCUUCCCGACAGAUUGAUCCCCCAAGAAAACCAGCUUGUAUUUGGCCAGAGCGGAAACUGGAGCCAUGGUUAUUCGGAUCUAUGUCAGGGAUAUCCUAUUGAUCGGAUCCAAUGUCGAGACCUCACCGGAGAGAAAGAGAUUGAGAUCAAGAUCCCUAGCCUCUUUCCCUUUCUUUCUUUUCGGUGAUUAUUGUUCAGAGUCUAUUUCUGAAUGAAGCGACCCAAAUUCAAGCUAAAAAUUGAAUUAAUUUUAUGGUAUUGUGAAUUUCCAAAUCUUUCUCAUCAUCACUUGUUGAGAGAUAGUAAUUUUUAGUGAAAGGAAAAAAUUUGAACUUCAAUUUCACAAUUUAUUAUUCCUUAUUUUGAAACACGAAUAUUUUGAUUUAAUUUUGAUUUAAUUUUCAUUGGAUUUGUUUAGUUUUUAUCACAUUAUUUUAAUCAGAUUGUUACAAGAAUUUUUUUUUUUUUGGUACGUCAUAAUUUUAAGAUUAGUAUUGCAUUAUUUCGGCCCUUACAUCCGAAGUGUGGUUAGUAACUCACCAACUUGUUUACAUGAGUCGAAUUGUUGAGUUAGUCGCUACCGAGUUAAUUCAUUUGAAGGCUACAAAGAAGCACGUGCCGUUGCCUUAUUUUUACUAGGCUACCUAAGUCACUGUUUAGAAACUAACCGUGAGCAGAAGCCUAAGUUGUAGUUGGAAGGAAAGAGAAAUGGCAUUGAGAGCAGCCGUACUUCGCCACAUUCAGGUGCCAGUUCAAACCCUAACGGCAACCGGAUCGAAACCUCUGCCCCGAUGGAGUCUCGGCGCUUCCCUCCGGUUAUUUUCAUCUCACGAUGAUCACCUUACCAAAGAAGAGGUAAUCGACAGAGUCCUCGACGUCGUCAAAAGCUUCCCCAAAGUCGAUCCUUCCAAGGUUAUUCCCUCAACCAUUUUACAAUUUCCACUCUUUGGUUCUCAGCUAAUUCUCGACUCUUAUAUUUCGUUAGUCGGGAGCUGAGAAAGAAAUAGUUUUGCGGUUAUUCUUGUCGGGAAUUGAUUGAUUUUUUUGACCCGAUUUAUAGUUCAAGAGUCGGAUGCAAUUCUAUUUUUCUGAUGUCUUUGUUUGGUUUUCUAGAAAAAUGCGAGUAAUGAAAAUAGUCUUAAAAUUCUAAGAUUGUUUUAUGGGCAUUUUUGUUUAUUAUGGCCAUCUUUGUUGUUUAUCCAUAUGUGUAAUUAAAACUUCAGGUUGAUUGUCUUAGUAGGAAGCAAUUUCAGUUGUUGUAUUAGCUUGCUGAAGUUUACAGUUGCAGCUGAUAUUGCAUUUUAGUCCGUUGGAAUUAUUCCCCUAGGGUUGUGCUAGAGUUUCGGUGCUUGAUGAUUUUGUUAUACGUAUCAAAAAGAACAAUGGAAUGAUUUCAAAAACCAAUUUUGAUGGAUCAUUUGCUUUUUACGCUGGCUUAGCCAUAAGAUAAACUAUUUAAUGGAGGUCUUAUUAACUCUUCACUUGUUUUUCGCUUUCUAAAGAUGAAUGUGGGAGUUGAAAUAAAAACUUCUGCUUAGUUUUGACUUUUGCCAGUUUAAAGUCCUUUCACUGCAAGAAGCAUGACCUUGAAUCUUAGAAACUCAUGAAUCUUUGAGGGCAUAAUUCUUAACUAGGAGUAAGAGGGAGGAGUAUUUUUGGUAAACAUCAAACAAGUAUAUUAAUUUCUCUUUGUUUAUUAUGUGAUAUCUCUACAUUGUAAUGCUAUGACAAUAUUUGAAGAGCUAACUUUUUUUCCAGGUGACACAUAAACUGAUUGACCAUUUUAUCACUUCUGUUUAAUUUUUCUUUUGAAUAUCGUGAGUAACUUAUAAGGUAUUGAUCUUCAGGUUAUCCGAUGCCCCUAUAUAUAUUUUAGUGGCAUCUUUGUCUCUCUUUUUCCCAUUUUUAUGCUAUUUUAUCCCUAUAUUUAUUAUUGCUCUUUCUCAUUUCCUUUGUGAAUUUUGAUUCACUGCUUUUUGCUUGUUUUAAAAAGAACUUUCUUAACCGCAAAAGUUCAAAUGCAUCUUUGUGUUCUUUACCUUAAGCAUCAACUUUUGUUCCUUUUCUCAAUUACUUGCAGGUGACCCCCGAUGUCCAUUUCCAAAAAGAUUUGGGGUUGGAUAGCUUGGACAAUGUGGAAAUUGUAAUGGCUUUGGAAGAGGAGUUCAAGCUGGAAAUUCCAGACAAGGAGGCUGACAACAUUGACUCAUGUAAUCUUGCUAUUGAGUAUAUAUAUAACCAUCCAAUGGCUGGCUAAUCUAAUGCAAAGCUAGGUUGUAUCUUGUUAAAUUUCAUUCGAAAAGGAUAAUGACAUCUCCUACUCUGUUUUUGUUCAACAUUUUUGAUGUUUGUAUGAAUUUACUCUUCAUAACGGGAUUAAGACUGACGAUCUGAAUCUGUUUGGUGUGAUACUACAUGAACUUGCUUCUACACCAAACAGCUGCAGAUUUCAACUUGAAAUAAACUUUUUUGUAUUUCCUGGGGCUUUCUUACCUUUCAAAUACUUAUGUUAUUCUUUUGCUAUUGUCCUAAUAUAUCUUCAACAUCUGCCUUUGGCGCUGAUGUCACGGGUCGAGGCUUAAGCUCCGACUCACGCAGUUUCAGGAUCCGAGCAUCCACUCAUUCGGCGUCCGAGAUUGAAGCACUUAGCAUGGAUUGAACGGUUUAGGGUUGGUUCUGAUAUCACUUGUCACGGGUCGAGGUUUAAGUUCCGACCCGCGCAGCUCUAGGACCCAGGCAUCCACUCGUCCGGUGUCCCAAAUCAGCCUACCUAUCACGAUUCACACCCUUGUAAUCCACUCAUCCGGCGUCUCAGAUCAGUUUACCUGUCGCGGUUCACACCCUUGUGAGGUAUUAUCCGCUCUGGAGCUUUUAUCUCACGGUUUUGUCUUAUAAAAGGCUCCUCACAAGGCAGAGGUGAUGUGAACCUUUAUAUAUCUUAGUAAUCUUUCAUUUAUAAAAGGCUCUGUGACAUUGGCAGUUGCUUGCUCCUAGUCUUUUUUUUAUUGAAAUGAGGAAUACUCUUUCCGAGGGCAUUAAUGGAGUAAAGCUUGCUUCUUUCAAGCGUUGGAUUUCUAUAUUCAGUAAGUGAAUUGAUGUGUCUGGUCUCUUGUUUUCCUCCUGCACUUUUUUAGCUUUGAAUGAAGUUAUUGAAGGGUCAAAAAAUUAGUAGGUGCUGUUGCCAUGGAAGCCGGUAAAAGGCAGAGAGAAUUGACUUAUUACUUUGUCGGCAGGCUUUGUUAUUGUGGAAGCUAUUUAAAGAUGGAAUUGGCAGGCUUUAGCCACUGUUCAUAUGUUAAUGUCGAACCAAGGCAAGAAUAUCUAACAAUCUUUGCGACUGGGUUGACACAAACCUGAAAUGGAUGUGAAACUCGUGGCAUCGCCACGUGAAUGAUCAUGUAUAGGUUCGUUAGUUAGCAUUAAAUCCAAGAUCCAUAUCAUCGUAUUCGGUUGAAUGAAAGCACAAAUAUAGGCUAAUUCCUUUAUUCUUUGGAUUGGUGUGAUCAACAAUAAUGUUACACCAAGAAGCUUUAAGUAAUAAUUAUCUGUAUUAAUUUAAACUGUAAGACAAAGAUAAAUUACAAGUCACUCUUCAAAGUUAGCUUCAGACACCACCCCAAUGAAAGCCUUCCCUGAAAAUCUCCUCAACCCUUUUUCUUUUAUGGUGUAAAAUCUUUUAAACUAAUUUGUUUUAUUGGAAAACAUCCAAUGAACCAGGCAACCAAAACAAAGAAUAUAAACAAGGAAACAAACUCAAUUAGAAUCAAGCUAAUUAAUGAACUAAGUGACCCCAGUCACGAAUGGCUAAUUCAAUCGUAGCAUGUUCAUAAUCGAAAGCGAAAUAGCAGACAACUGGAAUGUAUCGUUAUUUCUUUUUGUUAAUGGCGAAACCGCACCUUCUUUUUCAUUGAACCCAUCUUCACAAGUUGUAGAGGCAUCCAUGACCGAACUUACAUCAAUAUUGGCAUCAUCAUAGUGCUUAGACUUGUAAUCGUCGAUGGCCUGUUUGGUGGUAGGGAUAGCAUCAGAAUAAAGAUCAAAGCAAUCGUGCAAGCAUGAUCUUACGAAAGGGUCCAGCUUUUUGUUCUUCAAGAGCUCCUUAAUGAAGGACCUUGAAUUUGUUAAGUUACGGCGAAGUAGUUUGAUGGAUAUCAUGCCAAGUUCAUGAAGAUCAUCAGCGCAUUGGCUUUUCGGAGCUGCUUGAAGAGAAGUUACACAGAAGUUGUAGCCAAGGUUAGGGUCUCUUUGAGCACAUUUCUUGCACGUCUGACGGAUGAGAUCAAUGGCGGCUAUGCCAUGGAAGGUCCAAGUUGAAAUCAACAAGAAGAGGAAGAGAGGGAAGGAAAAAGAAGACAAGGUUUGCCUCAUUUCUCUUAUCGUGGUGGCUUGUAAUCUUGUUGUUCUUGGUGUUGGCCAUCAGAGAAAGUACAUAUUUAUAACUCUAGAAUUACUUCAAAGAAGCAUAAAUGAAUAAUUCAUUUAGAAUAAUAAUAAAAAAAAAACUAUAAGAUUUUCACAUUUUUGGUUUGUGAUUUUGGUCAUAUAGUCCGACGGAUUGGUUCGGUUCGUAGCUACUUGUUGCGAGGUUCAUACGUUUCUUUUUCUACAUGCUUUUGUUGCCUUUCUAAAAAUGAUUACCGAAGAUUAAAGAAUGAGAUUGCUCCAAUCCAAAUUCAUGAUUAUUAUUCAUUCGUGUAACCGUCCCAAUUGAAUGUUGUUCCUACGCCAUCUUUGCUUACACGUAAAUGAAGUAAAACGCUAUGCAAAUAUUGCUUUCCUUCAUAACAUUAGAAGGAAAAAGAAAGAGUUUUCAGUCGGACUUCAAAAAUCUUAUGUUUGAAAAACUAUGAAGAUGAUGCUUCAAAAUUAAACGCAAUAUAUAGUUUGUUGGGUAUUUUAAUUUUGACUUUUGGGCUUAGUCCUUUGAGUAAAACCAAAGUCAAACUAGCCAUAAAAAUUUUUAUCUAAAAAAGAAAUGAAACUUAAGAAUAAGAUGAUAAGAAUUUCAAUAUUUUCAGGUCUUCUUACUAUGUACAUGUGCAUCAUAUUUUUUUCCUUUAAUAUCCACGUGGCUAAUGCACCCAUGGCAGACGGCAUUAUUCACAGGCCAUUGAAGCAUCUUCAACCGAAAAAACAGGCAAAAACGCCCUUAAACGCUAUCUCACCUUGAAAAUAAUCAAAUAUAAUAAAACCCCCAUCACCAAAGGCCAACAAAGACCAAAAUCCUUUUCUCGGACAAUCUCAAAAUGCUACAAUAACAACUCAGAUAAGGAAAACCCAAUCCUCAAACCCAGCAGGCAAUCAAGGUCAAGGGCAAACUGUAGCCACAAUGGCGAACCUGGAGUCGGCAAUGGACUCUGUAUUUUGGGAUGAGAGCAUAUCCUCCCCACAGACUUUAAAUGGCUCGGCGAAGUCGGUUCCAGGCGAGCCGUUUCCGUUGGAUGGAUCUCGAGCCAGCAAAGCCCUUAGAAUUCAGCAGCUUUCAGUUCUGAGAAAUGGUUUUCCUUUGGGUAUCAUUCCUUCUUUAUCUCCUUCUUCGCAGAAAGAGUUGGGUUCUUUCUCUCUUCAGUCUGUCUUGCUCAGACCCUCCACUGCUAACUGGUAUUGCGCCAUUCUACUAUUUCUCUCUCUUGGGCUUAUACCCUUAUUUCUAUUUUAUCUAAAACAGGAGAAGAUUUUAUGUGGUUGUUGGAAAAUGCAUGGAAAUUGGAUGAUAUGAAAUUGUGAACAUGUUUUUCAUUUAGUCUUUCAUUUCAAAAAAGAAGAUAGAGAGUUGCAUAAAGUUAUUCUCUUAAGCUAGAAAGUUGUUCACUUUAGUUGUCAAAUGCUAUGUGACGUAUGCCUCAGAAAAAUGUUAUUUGCUUAUAUAGGUGGCUUGGAGAAAUUGGUCAGUUUAGGCCAAAGAAACUUAUUUCUGCUAUUAGAAUAGAGCUUCAGAGCGCUGAUGAGUUGAAGCUCUCUGUUUUCUGAAAUGCAGCCAAGCAUUUUCUUGACAAGUCACUGUAUUCAAUUGCGUUAGCGACUCAGCUUUCCUUGUCUCCUUCUUCAUCCUUAAUGUGGAGCACAGAACAACAGGGAGAGAAGAAAGGUUAUCGGCACAAGUUCAAGGUUUAUAACCAGGCAUGUAUUUCAAUACCAUUCAUCUUUAUAUGUUUCCUUGAUAACAUCUUGCCUACAUUUAUCUUUCCAUUUUUCAUCUUUAUAACCAGUGGUUGCCAUACUUCUAUGAGAGAUAAUGGGUACUAAAAGUGAACUAUAAUAAGUUUCAACAUGUUCCAAGUUUGCUGACAACAAUUCGAUCGGAAUAGCAGCUAAGUCAUGCUGGUGACUUAUAUAGUUUUAUGUCUACCUCAUGCAUCGUGAAGUUUAGUUUAAUUUUAUUUGUUAGAUUGGUUUUACACUUUUAAUUGUGUGAAUUUAAGUGUAAUAUAGCCAGUAUGAUGAGCAAGUAUUUAAAAGUAUUAGUGCCUAGAUGUGAGCCCUUUGAGUUCAAAGUCUAGUUCUUCCUAUUCAAAACUUCAAGUAAGAAGCAUAGCAAAUUGAAUUCUCAAGCCUACCCCAGAUUCAGAAGCAUAAAGUUUGAUGUUGGUUACAUCGAUAAUUCCAAAGAGAUCUCUGGUAUUUUUAACUAUUUUGUCUCAUAAUGUCAGUCUUUCUGGUUCCAUGAUGGUGAAUGAUAGCUUUUUAAACUAUGUUUAUUCUACCACUUAUGCGUAUUUACAGCUUCCUGAUCAUGAUAUCACACUGGAUGCUGCAUGGCCUGAGCCUUUUAUGGGCCAUAAAAGAAAAUAUUGGGAGGUUCCAGAAUCAAUAUACUUAGACAUGUUCUCUUCCUUCUGAUUCAGGGCUGCGAUAUCGUUUUGGUCUACAUAAAAACAGUGGUCAUCCCAAGGCUUUCAAUGCACUAGAUGGUGAGGCACCUUCUGCUUUAAUGCCAGGAUUAUGUGCAAAGGCUGCAUUUUCUUAUGAAAAGAGCAAGGAUAUCUGGAGGCAAAAGGAGACAAAAGAGGAUUUCUUUGUAAAGAUGGACAAAGGUUCAUUUUUUUGACCAUCAUAUGAUGUGCGUCUUAAAGAACCUCAUGCAGCAAUAUUUGGUAUUAUAGGUAUGUUUUAUGUAUUGCAGGGUAUGAUUUUUACUUGUGUGACUCUCUAGGCUUUUCCCUAACUUCCCCCUGUGGUAAAUUUUUGCACUCAAUAUGGUAAGAUACCACCACUUUAUGAUACCCUCUCCAAUUACUUUAGUUCAUUUUAUACUUUAGAUUAUGCUAUCUAGCAGAGCCUUGAAGGAAAUUGCUAUUCCUUUUAUCUUUCUGGCUUGUGGGAAGCAUUGACAAUGCUGAGGAAACAACUUCUAGAUAAUUUCUUCAUGCUAGUUGUGAUGCCCAAACAUUUAUUUACUUCUUUUGUUUUCUUGCUUCUUAAUCACAUUCUAGGAGGCACAUGUGCGGCCUGGUUUGGGAAUGACUCCACAAGUGCCGAAUCACAGAGAGAGGGUAACAUGCCUGCAACCAAUAACAAGAGAAGUCCUUUGAAUGCGGAUUUAUUUGGCUCAGUUUGCUACACUUUUCAGCAUGGGCAGUUUCGGAAGCUAUAUGGUGAUCUAACCUGAGUAGAUGCUCGUUUGGACAUAUGUUCACUUUCAUCAUUUGUCAAAAGAGUUUUCAAGAGUUCUUCCAGUGCAGACAAUUCACUAUCAUCUCCCAGACUAAAUUUGAUCUUUCAACAGCUGGUAAUUUUAUCCAUACCUCGUUUGAUUGUCCUUUUUUGUUUAAAAAUGAAAAAAAAUAUAUGGACACAGAUGGCUGAUGAGUUUUAUUAGCUGUUCUUAUUCACAAGGCCCCUGCACAUCUAUGGAGGUCUUGAUGAAAAAUCUUUAGAUAAGGGGAAAACACAUUAACCUCUUUCAUGUCAAUUGAGAGAUACUUUUUGAAAGGGCAUUUAUAGAGGGACUUCUAAAAUGUGGUAGGAGGGCAAUGAAAUGAUGAUUCAGAUGCAAAUUUGCUGGGAAAAUAUUGAAGCCAAUCUUUUAUCGUGUGUAUUGACACGUACAUAUCUCACAUGGAAAAGCCCUGGGAUAUUAUUUACAGACUCUACAUUUUGGCGUGCAGGUUGCAGGGCCAAUUGUCUUUCGAGUAGAUUCAAAGUUCUUGCUUGAUUCUAAGUCAGGGAAACGAGGCCCUCUUAUUGAGGAUCUCAUAUACAGCCUGAGCUACUGCUUGAGGCUUCUGCGUUCUGGAAAAGUUGUUGCUUGGUAUUUUCCAAAGAGAAAGGAAGGGAUGAUAGAAUUGUGCCUUUUUGAAUUCUAUCUCAUGUCUUUUGUCCUAUAAUUCCUAUGAUUUUUUUGUUCAGAACACUAGCUUUCUUAUGGGGUAAGUCAUUAACCCGAAAUGUGUAAGCAAAUUUCUUUUUCUGAUCAUAUAAUUAUCCAAACAUUGGAGAUGGAUGUGAAGUCUUGCAGCUGAAUUACCAACUUUUUGUGUUCUCGACCGACAGUUACCAUGUUUUGACACAUACAUUAUACAUUUGCUAAAAGAAACUUAGAUUAGAGAAAUGUUUUGCUCCACUAUUAUUGAAAUUAAUAAUCUAAUAAUUCCAGCACCGGUGUGAGAUGUGAUCGCCGAGCAUCUCCUUUCUGAUGCAAGCAUAAUUGAGGAUUGCAAACAACGCGAGCCUCUUCGAAAUCCCACUAGUGAUAGGCUGAUAGCUAUGAAACGAAGUCAAUGGUCAUCCAACAUUGAAUCCAUUUCUUUUUCUUAUAAAAAUCAAAAUAAGAAAAAAAACCAUUGAAUAUAUUAAAUAUUCGUGAAUUAUUAUCAUCUCCAAUGAGUAACUGACAUACAUGCACCAAGAGCUUGUAAUAUCACUCAUUACAAAAUGACAAGCUAUCAAAAUGCAACAUGAACUGUUCGAUUCUGAAAUACAUUCUAAAGUUUGACACAAGGCAAAUUUUACUCCAUAAGUGCCACCAUCAAAGUAGAUUCUUCAUCUAGAUCAAAGGCCAGAAACUUCAAUCGACUUCAGCUAACAAGUCACUCUCUUUACAGAAGACAUGCCUAGUAUCUGUUCCCAAGUCGACCUGCAAGAAAGAGAAGAGCAUUGAGAACAGAGUCAUACGACCAACUUUUGAAAUAAACCAUUAUUAUGUUAUUGAAAGCAAAUAAAACCUUAUUUUGCACAUAAAACCUAUGGCCAUGAACGAAAAGAUAAAUGCUGCAGAUGAAUCAGAUACUGUGCCUUAAGACAUUCAUCACAAUAGCAGUUACCAUCAUGUUAAUAGUUGUUCAUUAGUAGAGAGAGCCUUCGGCAGUGGCUAAAACAAUGAAGAUAUGGAUCAAGAUGGUCUUACUGCCAAACUUGCUAGUUACUAGAACCUCUUUCUAACUGCCCUUUCUUUGUCCACCCAAAAUGAACAAAUAUUGCAAAAGAAGCAACACAAAAAGAUUUUUUCGCCAAAAAGAGAUGCUACUAACCUCAUAUGCAUUUAUGUCAGAGAAAAGAACCUGCAAAGAUAUAGGCAUUCCUUUAGAUGGUAUAAGGAGAAUAACUGCAUAAGAAAAUGGCAUCAUUUUGGCAAAGAGCAAAAAGCGGCAUCACUUAGAAUGAGAAAACAUGAAUUGCUCAGAACAUUGAAAUUGCAGGGGCCGGAAUUUAUUUACCUUCUUUCCAGGCUCCACUUGUCCUACUGUGGUACCAACAGAAACUAUCUGAAGAGGAAAUCAUAGAACUAAUAAAAGAACUCCCAAUCAUUCAUGGUAAAAGGAGAAAAAAAGUAUAGAGGGAUUCUUAUAUACCUCCCCCAUUAGGCAACUCUCAAACUUGACAGCUGCUUUGGGUAACAAAACUCCGCCAGCUGAUUUCUGUGUAGAAAAUGGGCAAUUCAUUGGCGUUAUAACUUACAACAAAGGAAAAAAAAAUGACAUUUAUCAAACAAGAUUAAUAGAAAAUACAUACCACGUUUACGAGGGCCUAAUGAUUUACAAAUUUAUACAUGACAGCCAAGCAAAAUGCAAACAUCAACCAAUAAGAUAGUUCCCCUUUCCGUACCCACUCCCCACCAUCACACAUAAUCAUCAAUUGCUUUUGUCCAAUAGAUCAAUAAGAAUAGCCAACUUAUGCUACUCGAUUCUCAUUUCUUAGAAUAGAUCAAUAAGGGAACAAGAUUGAAACCAAAGAAAACCAGCUAGAUACACUUCAACGGAACAAGCAACUUCAUUACUAACAUAGAUGAACAACCUGCAAGUUAAACAAAUGGGCAAAAAGAGACGCAGGAAGCGUAAGCAAACCUCGGGUAACUCUUGGAGACGGAUAAGAACUCUGUCAGCUUGUGGAACAACCUGCAAAAAUCAAAGGUACCAUUUGCAUAACAACAUAAAUACACAAAAAUUGUCUCUAUCUAGCUCGGAUUACGAAAUCAAUCGAACAAUACCUUGGUGGGUUCCCAUUUAGUGGCAACUGCAUUGAUUCUGAGAGAGUUUCUUCGAGACCCUGCUGGAAACCCACAAUCAAAAAGACAAACUGAUUACAAACAAACAAGUAAAGAAAAACAAGCAGAUAUUGUGGUAGAAAAGAGGGGCUAACGCAAACUAACCAAGAAGUUUGUGGGUGGGAAGAUAUGGGAGGGUAGGCUUGUUCAGAGUAAAGGUUUUUGGUGCUGCGAGAAAUGUAGACGCCAUGGAAAAUUGAGAGGGCAGAUUGAACUAAGGGGGCGUUUGGCAAAACAAAGUAAGUAAAGCCCUCGUCUGCUCCUCUGGGUUUUAUAGGCCUACGUGUCAUCUUCCGUGACAUCAUCAAUGCUCGCCGGAGUUCUAGAGACUUCCUCGCUUUUUCUUUUGAGGGAAAACUUUGGGGUGAAUUUUCUUUUUUAGCUAAAUUUUUUUAGGUAAUGCGCUCAUGUUUAAUUGCUACUUUUAUUUUUGUUAUUCCUACUAAUGAAGAUAAAAUUAUUAUGGGCAACCAAUGAUGUCUCGAUUUAAUGAUAGAAAUAUUUUAAGAUUUUGAGAUUAAUAAUUUAAGUUUUAUUAUAUGUAAAUUUGUUUCCUGUUAAGUUAUAAUUUAUUUAAUUAUUUAAUAUUUUUAUAUAUAAAUAUAAAUAUAAUAUUUAAUUAUAAUUAUAAUUUAUAAGUAAAUGUAAUAUUUAAUUUUAACUAUAACUUUAAUUUUAAUGUCAAAAAUUAUUACGAGCAAAAAUCAAAUAAUGUGUCUUCUUAGACUACAAGUAUAAUUUCUUUUUUUUUCAGUUAUAAAUUUCUUUAAAAUAUUUUUUAUAUUCUACAUUUAUUAUAUUAAUUUCAAAUUUUAAAUUUAAAAUUAGAAUGAUAAUUCUCUUUUUUUUAAAAAAAAUUUUGACAAUCAGUAAUACUCUUUUAUGCAAAAUCUACCAACUACUUAGCAGUAUUUUCUUUAUGAACUUGUCUUUCCAAAGUAAAAUUUACCACUAACAGAUCCAAAGAGGGGAAGUACAUUUUGCAGUAAAUUCAAUUGAAGCAAAAAGUAGAAUCAGACAAAGCGAGGCACCUUCCCAUUUUAUUAUCAUCCCAGUUUUCGCGACCAUUUGAGGGUCCAUUUCCUUAUGUAUAUUUGAACCAACGGCUACUUGGGGACCACAAUUCCUAUCAUUUGUCCCUGAAUCUCUGCACUUUCAAAGCGCUUUAUCCCCUACUUUUUGCCGGGAAAUUUUUCAUUCAUUCCCGUUUAUCAUUCACGCUUAACUCACUUCUCACUUGGCAAACUAUUUAUUUUGUUGGCAAAAGGAGCACACCCUCUUUUAUCUGGAACUGGGGUUUCCCUUUUUUUCUUCUUUUUUUUAAUCUAAUCCUUGUGAAGAAAGGCCUAUCUGGGGUUUCAAGAUAACAAGUGUUGGUGACAAUGGUGAUGAAACAACUCUGUCUCUGUGAGUGGAUUCUACUGUCAUCUUCUGUUGGUAACUGUCGUUUGCUCCAAGCACCAUGGUAAGAUACUUUGAGCAUCUCUCUUUGUUUUGUUUUUGGAGUUUUGCUGUUUUUAUUGCAUAAAUCUACUAACUAUCGAUUUAUAUCUUUUAGUAGAAGUGUUGGCUGUCUAAACACUUGAUAUUAAACCUCUUUCUUUGUUUUUUUUUUUUCCCUAUGAAUGCUUCCCUUCGUAAAUCAGCAUAUUAAGUCAUGACGAGUGCUGAUUCUGACUCAUUAGACCUGAAGAUGUUAUGUAAACUAUUUUAGCUGGGAUGGAAGAUCUUAUCUGGAUGAUUCCUCCAAAUACCUGAAUCAUUGCCCAUAUACCUUCAAUUAUAACAUCUCUCAAACCUAAUGGGCAAACUUUGGUGGUAUGAGACUUUGUGCUUUGAUACACUUGUCCCGAUUAUUUGGGACGAGAUGUUUUUACUAGCUUCUCUA